RNAcentral lists this long non-coding RNA (68087 nucleotides) under Malus domestica (apple). Its description in RNAcentral is "long non-coding RNA (MDOM_LNC005122)". Lineage: Eukaryota; Viridiplantae; Streptophyta; Magnoliopsida; Rosales; Rosaceae. The record is from RNAcentral.
AGUUAUGAAAAUUGGCUAAAUGAUCUAGAGGUUAAUCAAAAGUAAUGGUUUUUGUUGCUAAAAUUAACGAGAGAUCUUGAGUUCGAAAUGUUGUGUGCAUGUUUGUUCUUUUCAAUUUUUACGAGUUUCUAUUUGGUUGUUAAUUUCUUUUUAAUUAUUAGCUAGUAGAUAUGUGUGGCAAUUUUAAAACAUUUGUGUCAAUUCAAGUCUAAAUUUCAACAAAGAAUAAUGCAUAGACCAAAUUUGCAAAUCAUAUGAUGUGUCACCAAUAAGUUUAAUUUAGUAUCAUUUAUUGCUUAUACAUAUCAAUUAAAGACUCGAAAGCAUCAUUAUUUUUAUAGACCCAUAUUGACAAGAUUAGUAAAUAAGAAAAAACACAUCACGAUUUAUAUAAAAACACUUUAAAAGUUCAGGUAGAAAAACAAGACUCAUCAUCCAUCUACUUGUAAGCCCGAAGUUUUUUCGUUCCGGUACAAAAGAAAUUAAUUAAUUUUUCCGUGCUUUUAAAUUAUUGAGCUUGAAGUGCUUUUGUAAGUAAUAACUUUAUUGAAGUUUUACGUGUGAAAACAAUAAUUUUCUUAUAUAAAGUUAGGGCACAUUUUUUUGGGUCGCCCAGGGCCUUAAAAAUCUCAAAACCGGCCCUGCUUUAAGUAGGUUAUUACUUAAUAAAGGUGCGGCUAAAAAAAUAUUAUUAUUGUUUACUUAGUUAUCCUCAAUAAAAAUUGUAUAGAUACAAAGAACUAUUGACAAAAAAAAAAAAAAAGAUAAGAAGAACUAUUAGUGGAGUACGUUGGUUUCCAAGAUGUAAAAUAUGCAAAAAAAAAAAAAAAAAUACACUCAACCUUUAAAAUCUAUUGCAUAUAUGUACGUAUGUAGUACUUUCUUUAAGUUAAUGCCUAUCUAUAAACAUGCUUGUGAAGCUAAAAAUAGUAUGGCUUCAACAAGAAAUUGUCCAUAUUGACGAGGUAUUACGUACUCGUAAGUUCAAAGGCGUGAUAUCAACUCUAAAAAAUAAAAUAUUGUCUCAAAUAAUUAUAGAGAAAUAUUUUAGUUCAUCUUAAAUGUUUACUUGUGACAUUGCAUAUUUUUGUACUUAUGGACAAUUAUUAUUAUAUGGAGGUGAUUUUCCUUAAUACGGGACAUAUGACAAUUAUAACUUAUUACAAUGUAGAGUUUAUUUAUAUACAUAACUAGCUCCAAGUUUGGACCAUAAAUUUUUAUGACUAUAAAGAAGGUUAUUCUUAAAUAGAGCAUUAUUAUAAAGAUGUUUUACUAUAUAUUUUUAGGCCUUUUUUUUUAUAUUAAGUUGUCCUGAUUCAAUUAUGUUUUCUUUUAGUUUUAUUAACAAUUACUAAUACUAUAGAGGUAAUUUGACCAACUCUUGUAGAGUUUUUGUUACUAUUUUCUUGCAUCGCAAUUUUGAACUGAGAUUGGAGUUUGGCAUGCAAGUAAAAGCGUGUAUAAGGCCUUUGAAGUUUGAACGUUGACUAUUUUAAUUGAAGUUUUAGUACGCUGAGGUAUAGUAUUGGUGUGUGCUAACCUUUUACACGACAUGAAUACUUUAACACACAUACACACACAAAAAUUGAAUCAUAUUGUGAUGACUCAAGUCUUAUUUGACUUGAAAUGUGCCCAAGCGUGUUUAUUAAAUUAACUAAGACAACUCAAAACUAAUUAAGACCUCUCUAAUCCACUAGCCAGACCUUAGUAUUGUUUUUUCUUAGUUUUAUAGGAUAAAUCGAAUAAGAAUAAGUCAUGAUGUCUAGAAAGGUUGUCUAAAAUGAUUCGCUGUGAAAUUUGAACUUAUAAUCUUCUUUGGAAAAAUGAAAAUCAGGUGCCGCUAAUCAGGGCCGGCCCUGAGGGGGUGCCAGUCGUGCGACCGCACAGGGCCCCCGAUUUUUAGGGGCCCCUGAAUUUUAAUAACCUUUGUAAUGUACUACAUAUAAAAACAAUGUGAACACAAUUCACAUUGUUUCCUUAGGGGAAUCGUCAAGCGCUGAUACUUGCGUUUGUGUUUGCACGGGUUCGACUCCCAGUAGAACCAUUUUGGGCUUUUUUUUAAACUACAUUAAUUUUUUUUCUUUUCUCUUUAAUAUUUGUAGUUUAAUUUCUAUCAUUAUAAAAGAGAACUUUUGAUGAUAAAUCUAUAAUUAGGAAUAUCAUAAUUAAUUAAAAUCCUUAAAAAGUUUGAAGAUAUAAUCUUUAAAACCCCCUUUUCAUAUAUGACAUCAUUUAAUCAAAUACAUAUCGUUCGUUUAUUCUUUUGGUCAGCUUUUAAGGAUCAUCUAAUUUUCAUCCUAUUUGAAAACCAUUUAGUCAUCCAUAUAUAAUAAAACUUUGCUCACAACACUAAAGUGGAGGUGAGUAGGUGAUGCUCAUCCCCCUAUUGAUUACCGUUAAAUUAAUUUGGUUUAAUUGAUUUAAGACACGAAUCUCAAAUUCUAACUAAUCCAACAACAAUCAACCGAGUGAGGGUUAGAAUCAUUCUCACUUUAGGGAGUGAGAAAAAAUGCAUUAAAAAAACUUACAGCUCAUUAUAAGAUGCUACAAAUAUCAUAACCAGUGAUUUGUUUAACUAGUUCAUAAUAAAGAACAUGAGUUGUUCUGAUUAUGAUAUAUGUACGGUGAUAUGAUAUGUACAUAUCCACCACACCAUGCUUUUGUAUUUAAAAAGUAAGUUCAAACCCAAAAACAUAAAGAAUGUAGAUACAUAGCCACCAAACCAUGCUUCUUUUUUAUUUAUUUUCUUUUGCGUUUAUAUCAAUUUAUACACAAGAAAUAUAUAUAUAUAUAUAUAUAUAUAAAAGAAAAUAUAGCAACCAAAAUUUAAAUCUUGUAAGGGCCUCUGUUUGAGUCUCGCACAAGGCCUCCAAAAUCUCAGGACCGGCCCUGCCGCUAAUCCAAAACGAUAAUAAGCGAACAAAGUGUAUUAAAAUAUUAUUGGAGGAAAAUGAAGAGAAUGUGUUGUACUUAAUUAAACGUGCAAGAAAAUUUUGGUAGAAAUUAGUUAAUUUGACCUCAAAAGAAAUGUUGAAAGAGGAAUUGAGGAAUAGUUUGGAUCAAAUGAUAUCACUGCUGACAACUUUGGAUCAUAUUCUCUAUUUUGUCUUUCUCUUCUAUAUAAAAUCAAUCUAAUAUAUGUUGACGUGGCUUAACCGUGACUGUUCAAAUAGGAAGGAAGGGAAGGAGAGGGAAAAAAAGAGGGGAGAUAUACACACACACACACUCUUAAAUUUAAACCUUAAGCUCACAAGACAUACACUCAAAUUGUCAUUCAAAGUGUUUGGGGUUAAAGUGUAUACGCUCAAAAGAUCAUUAUAUGAAUGCUCUACCAUAAGCAUGCAGAUUGAUCUCAUCUCCACACAUCAAAAAUUACCUUCUUUGGAUCAAGUAGGUCUUUGUGAAGGGUUGUAAAGGGGCUUCGGUGACUUGGUUAAUCAAAUAAAGAAUAUGGGAAACACAAAGUCUAAGAAACUAAUAGAGUAGUUGGAAAUGAAACCGAGAGAGACGUGCGACAAUUAACCAAGGCAAUAAAUUGAGCAGUUUGAUGAACGACACAUAACUGCACAAUGAAUAUCUGAUGAUGGUAGCUCACUUGUGACUCAUAAUGAUUUCUUUUCCUCUUUUCUUCUUUUGUUCUUCAUUAGUAGUUGGGCUUUCUUCAUAAAAUUUUCAUCUUCAACUUUUAAUAACCUUGAACUCUCUCUCCUUUUAAAAAAACGUAUUCUACUAGCUUCUUAGUAGGGUAGGGAAUUUUUAAUAUAAGAGGCUAGGUAAGGAAAAUGUAGGUUUAAGAACAAAAGGCUUACAUAUAGGCUCAUAAGAGCUGACUAGGGGAAAAGCAUGUAUAAGGCCCUGACAUAUAUGGCAAUGGUGGUAAAGUUCUACUACCUACUGUCGUCUCCAAAAUAAAGUAAUAUAUGAUACAAAGUUUUGAGAGAUCUUAAGUCAAAUUCUAGAGAUGCAAAACACAUUAGAUCACACACACGAAUUAAAAAGAGUAUAAAAAUGCAUACACUAUAUUUAGGCACAAAAGCUCACAUGGGUGCGGGUUUUACUCAAGCUAAACAUGUUCAACUCAUUAACAUUCAUAUAUUAUCAAUAAGAGGCUAUUGUCCACAACAGGUCAAACAUAUCAUGCUAGGGUCAUGCUAUCAAGUGAACAAAGCUAGAACUCAUAUGAAAUCAUACUUUUCCAUUUUACCUCAUAUAUAUAUAUAUAUAUUUUUUUUAUUUUUAUUUUUUUAACAAGAAGACAGAAAAAUGCAGUAUCAAUGCUAUAUGAACAUGCAAGCAUACAUAAAUGAAAGCAUUUGCAAAGAGAGAGCUCAGUCAAUAUAAACAAUUUGAAGGUGGAGAGGAAUUGACAAAUACACCACUUUGAUUCUCUUUUAUUCUCCAAACUUGUUGCACUUUUGGAACAACCGUACUCGGAACAUAUAUAAUUCUUGCAAUCCGAUUAAUCUCUUUCAAAUAAGUCACAAAUUGUUUCUUAAGAUUUGCUUUUUUAGAGUUCAUUGAAACUUUUUUCUUGAGAAGAAUUUUUCUUCCUAAGCUUAUUGCACUUAGGCCGGAUGUGACCAGGAAUCCCACAAAAAUGACAUAUAGGAAUGAACUUCCUAGAUUGUUUGGGUUUGUUAGGAUUAACUGAAGUCUUGGCAGGAUUUGACACAUUUGCAAAGAUUGUAGAAGUUUCAGAAGUAAGACCUAAAACUGGAUUGACACCUACUUUCAAGCUAGGAAAUAUCAAACGCUUUGACAAAUCUUGUGAUGGAAGAAGAACUAAUAGUCUUUUCAAACUCAAAUCCUAGACCUUUUUUAUCUCCAAAAUUCUUUCCAUAGCUAAGCAUCUUGUCAAAUUUUCCCGAACAUGCUUAAUUCCUGAACUUUGUUUUUUAUCUCAACUAGUUCAUCCUAAAGAACUUUCUUAUCAAACGUGAGAGUGCUUUUGUGGUUUGAAGAAUAUGUAUCUUCUCUAACAAUGACUCUCAUAGUUUCUCUCUAUUGUCUAACUAAGAUUGAUGCUCAGCUUUAGCUUCCUUCUUUUCACUUUCAGCUAAUGCAAGUUUCUUUUUCGAGUUAGAGUUAUCCUUCUUUUCUUUACUUGCACACUGAUGUCUUAAAGAUUAGAAUAUUUUCUCAGGAUUUCUUCCAAGUCAGGUUCCUCAACAAAUGAACCUUCUGUGUCAUAUCCAUCAAUAGUUCCUAUAAAGGUAGUUGUAUCCUUUUCAUUUUCAGAGGAAGAUGCAUCUCCUGAAUCAUUAUCUCUCCAAGUAACAUUCAUUGCCUUAUUCUUCUUCUCCUUCUUCUUGAUAGUAUUUGCACACUCAUAAGCAAUAUGUCCAUACCCUUGGCAUUCAUGACAUUGCGCUCUAUUGUUAGAACUCUUACACUCCCUAGUUCUAGAGGAUUUAGAUGCUUUGUCAUGUGAGACAUCUAGAGAACGAAAGUUUCUAGAGUUUGAACCUAAGUUGGUUCGUUGCUCACGACCCUUGGAAUUCUGAGAGUUGAGAAACCUUCUAAUUUGCAUGGUUAAUGCAACCAAUUCAUCUUCGAACAAGUCAUCAAUUGAGCCAUCGCUUUCUUCUUCUUUGACAUCUUUGAGAGCAAUGUUUUUCAUCUUAUUGGAAUUAGGAAGCUCUAACUCAUGUUUGCAGAGGGCCAAUCAGUUGUUCGAGCUUGUAGGUGUUUAGAUCUUUUGAUUCCUCAAUUGCAGUCCUUUUAAUAUGAAACCUCAUAGGAAGUGAUCUUAAGAUCUUUUUUCACAAUUCUAUAUUUUGGAAUGCUGUCACCAAGAUUGUGGCAGCCAUUGACAAUUACGCUAAGCUUAGCAUAUAAGUCAAAGAAACUCUCAUCAUCAAACAUUGUGAUAUUUUCAAAUUUUGUGAUGAGAUGUUGAAACUUGGAUUCUUUAACAGUUUAGUAACUUCAAGAAUAUCCCAAACUUCUUUCGCCAUUGUACACUUGCUUAUGUAAUCGAAUUGUUCUGGCGAAACGGCUAUGAAGAAAGUAUUCAAAGCCUUUUGGUUAAAAGUGCUAGAGCUACGCUCAUCAUUGCUCAAUUCUUUCCUAGGCUUGAGCUUAGAUAUAGAAUCAAAGGACUUUCCUUCACAUUUUGUUUCUUUGAUCAUCAGAGGUUCCCAACCUUCUUCAACAGCAAGCCACACCUUGUCGUCUUGCGCCCACAAAAACGAUUUCAUUUUUGCCUUCCACGCAGCAUAGUUGUCACCAUCAAAGUGUGGUGGAUGAGAAAUUGAACCCAUAGCAUGAUUCAUCCUAGGCAAUCAACAUCCUCACAACUGUUGGAAAUUAUAUAUUAUGAUAUGAAAUAUUGUAAUAUAUAAUUUUAACAAUUGAAUGAAAAAUAGUGUUAACCAAUUUCUUAGAAAGGUUAUGUUGUUUAGGUGAUACUUGAUAAGUGAUGUAUACUUAUAGAUGAAAAGUUACAUCUCUUUAAUAAGUAGAAGUUGGAUUCUAUAUAAACACAUGAAACCAUUGGUAUUAAAGAUAGAAAAUUAGAGUUAAUUUUUAGUCUUGAGAAAUAGGGUUUCCCCACUUUGUUUCUCAAAUGAUUCGUGUGUCAAAUUCCGAGUCGUGUCUUGAGAGUACAAAAUAUAUAAAGUUCGCUAGAGUCCAAAGAUUGAAGUGCUUUGACUUCGGAUUAUAGAUUGUUGAAUCCUGGGAGAUGGACGCCUACCGAACUACAAGCACAAGAGUAGGGGCAAAAUUCUAUCUUUAGGACAUUGCAUUUAUGCAAGCCUCAAUCUCCAAGUUUGUCAGUUAUUCUAACUUUCACUCUAGUUGUUUAUAUUAAUCUCAAAUAUAAUUGAUGUUGUGAAUUUCUUUAUGAUUAUUAUCAUUGGAAUUAUAUUGUUAUUUUUUCAUAUUUUCUAAUAUUGCUCCAACAACAACCUUAAUCUUGGAGAGCUUGUUCGGCGCUUUCCUGGUGGUCUGGUGAUGCAAAGAAUGCGAGAUCUACCUUGAGAUAAUGAGGUUAUAACCGAGGUGUGUCCAUUGUUUGUUGAAAAAUCUUUCCACACGCCCUUUUUAGGCCUUGGUUAAGCAUUGUGGCUUUGAGAAUUUAUGGAAGGGAGCUCUCUUCGGAGGAGACCCUACUAUAAGAAGAAAAGAGAAAUUCAUUGUGCAAAAAGGUAUUUAGACAACUUUUUUUAAUUAAUUAUUAAACCCACAUCAGCACAUAACAAAUUUUUUUACAGAAUUGUGGUGGAAUGAUCAUAUUCAUUUACAACACCUAUUUUCAUGGACUACAUUGAUUGAUUUUCAAUUUUAGGGACCAUAUUGAUGGUGUGGGUCAAUUUCAGGGGCCAUUUUGAUGAUGUAGGUCAAUUUUAGGGACCAUUUGUGAUAUAAACCUGUAAAUGUUGUGGGGCCUAUUUAGGUGCCACAUCAGUACUUAACGAAAUUUUUAAUAGAAUUGUGAUGGAAUGACUAAAUUGAUUUGCAAUACCUAUUUUCAAGGACUACAUUGAUUGAUUUCUAAUUUCAAGGACCAUCUUGAUGAUGAGAGUCAAUUUAAGGGACCAUUUGUGAUCAAAACCCAUAAAUUUAUUGGUUAUUUUAACUAAACUACCGUUGGAUGUUUUUAAAUCAAUCCACUGAAUUUGAAUUAAUUAUUGCAACUAAGAAGCUGGGCCCCAAAAAGGGCUAAGAGGGGGCUACAUUUGGUCAAUCUCAUGCCCUUUAGGCCAAAUAAUGGCCUAAUGGGCUCCAUAGAAUUAUAGCUCAGUAGUCAGUUGGAGAUGAAUUUUGAAUAAAUCAGGCCAAUUUUUUUGCUUUUAAACCUUUAGCCCUCUUCAUUGGAGAUGGCCUUAGUUGCAAAAUUCCUGCAUGCAUGUUACAGGCAUUUUAAAUAUCAUGAAUUAAUAGACCAUGUUAUUUACCAUAUAUGAUUGAGCAAAUACUCAAGGCUUGUGAGGAAUUUGUUAUUUUUUUCCGGUUACAUAUAUAGGCUUCAAAUUAUUCCCUUGAUCGUUAAGCUCUACCUCGCUUCAACUUUCAAGACCAUGUUUUGUGUCAUCUGUAGUUAAAUAAUGUUGCAUUAAGCAGGGUAAAAAUAAAAAAUAAAAAACCUGGAAUAUCAGAAAAAAUUGCUCGGGGAGUUCUUUGAGUUGUCUGCAUGCAGAAGAACACUUAACCGAAUUAGUCUGAACAGCCAUUAGAUGUCGAUAAGUAGGAGCCGCCGGUCAGUAGCAUGGCACACUACCACGACAACUAAUUGAAUUCCAAACAUAUAUAUGCAAAAAUAGUUUUAAUCAACUAUAGAGUUUCUCUUACAUAUAUAGAUUAUAUCAAACAGCCCAUCGCAUUAUUGGGAGUUCGAUACUUCUUCGGUGCUGACAGGCAUGGCAUAUUUUGUGGUUGCAUUAAUUUACUUCCUUUAGUUGGUGGGGUUGUUGAACCUAUUUCAGACAUCUUGAUCACUAAAAUCGACUAAAGUGUACACUAUUUCUCUACAAACAAAAACAAGGUCAAUUGAAGCUGGCUAAAGCUGAAAACUCGAGGAAAAUUAAAGGUGGGUGUGUUGAGAACUGGAGAAUGCUAAACCCUCUAUUUAUACUAGUUUGUUGUAGGCUUAUUUCCUUUCCCGAAAACAAAGUUCUAAAUAGGCUAGGAAAAAAUAUAAAAUCAAAAUCUUUCCAAACCAUAGUAGGAUAUAUGGCUAAAUCAUUACAGAGAAAGGCCCGACCAAAAUAUCCUACAGAGAAAGGGAGAAAAAAGAAAAAAAAAAAAAGCUUUUCCAACCAUAAUAUAGGUAUAGCUAUAAUCCCAGAUAGAAAGGGAGAACACAAAUAGUAAGAUAUGAGAACAAAUAUACAGUAUAUGAAUUCAAGGAGAAAAGGUAAGUUAGACGCCGUUUUAUGCUUUACUCUUUAGAUAUCGCAUUCCCUUUUUAUUCGCUUUUUCUUCCCUUCUCCGUUCUGGUUAAAGAGUGAACAUGAAGAAAUUAAUACUCAAAAGUUGAUCAAUUAUAUUCCAUAGACACGACUGAGAAAAUUGGAAUUGAACGUGUUGGGUUAAUCAGUGGAAGGUUUCUUAAUUGUCAAAAUGAUCAAUUUUUUGUUUACAUGGGAUGUAGAUUAAUAGUAUGUAAUGGGAAAAAGAUAUACACAUGUUUUCAAGAUUUCCGAAGUUUCCCUAUGGUAGCGUUUGGUACGAAGAUAGGAUGGAACAGGACCAACGGGAUGGAAUGGAACAAAAUAGAGGUUUCAUGCUACGUUUGGUACGCAUAUGAUGGAAUGGGACAAUCAUUCUAUUAUGUGUUUGGUACGCGUAGGAUGGAAUGGAACGAAGGACUAAAUGACAAACUCACCCAAGUUUCUUUGUUGACACCAUCGACUCAACCUCAUGGAUUACCUGCAAAACUUGGAUUUUCUACAACCAUAUAUAUGAAGGAUUUUCUGCACGACUUGGAUGAACUUCUCUCAAGAACAAUUUUUUUUACAACCCUAAAACUUGUUUGGUAUCUAACCUGGAAACUAUUUUAAAUCUUCAAAGAUUUAGGCUAUAUAACCCAAAAACUUGUUUGUACAAAACCAUUAGAUGGUAGUGGCUGAGGGAGGAUAUUAAGGUCAGGUCGGGAUCCGAGAAUCUUUACGACUUGAUUUGGAACUCUCAAUUUCACACUAAUACUAUGAAGUCGUGUUGUCUUCAGAUGGGUUUUGUUCACAUAUAUGGUGGUGGGUUGCUAAUUUCAAAUGUUGCCAUUGAAAUUGAGGAAGUUUGAAAUAAAGCUUUGGUAAUGGCGGAGAGGUGAUGUUAGGGCUUGUGGGUGAUUAGAGUGAGAGGACAGUGGGUCAGGGAUGGUGGAAGAAAAUAUCUCAUUUGCGAAAAGAUCCAUGUCACGGUCGUCAAAACAUCUCUCUCAGUCGCCGGAAACAUUAUUCUUGUCACCGCCACUUACUCUCAAUUGAUGUUUGGUGUCGUUGGCCUCGAUGCCAAGGUCCUGCAGAUAUUGUGAAGAAGAAAAAAAAAGGUGUAAUUAUUGAAAAAUAUAAGGGGCAUUGUUGUCUUAAAAUUUUAUAAUUUUGUGUUCCACGGGGUGGAACGAGUCAUUCCAGGAGGGGAGGUGAAACAUAAAUUUAACCAAAAUUCGUUUUGUAAGACAACGCGUCUCACUGUCUUUGGCUCACCAAACGUGGGACGAGCGCAUUCCGUCCCAUCUCACGUACCAAACGGUACCUAGGAUCAUAAUAGAAUUUUAAUUAAUUUAUAAAUAAUUCAUAUAUAAGAUUUGUUUGUCAAAGGUUGGUGACACGCCUCAACCUCGAUAUCCCCAAAUACUAGGAUAGGCAUGUAUUGGCCGACACCUGAGGGUGAUGAAGCCAUAUUAAACAUGCAUACAAAUAAAAUAGGUAAUUAGACAGAAAUAUGCCAAAGCAGAAACAUGUUUAGAGCAUACAACUAAUCAUGAAUAAUGUGAAAGAAUUACAAUAAAAGUGUAUGAAUAAAGGAAUGAGUUCUACUUUGAAAAGACUCGAAGAUACCUAAGCGGAAAUGCCCAGACGCUAGGAUUGUGUGCCUCAAUUCUAACUCCUGAAGGGGAUGCAAAACAAAAGAGUGAGUGGACCAAAAUUUAUAAUAAUAAUACUAGUAAUAAGAAAAUCAUUUUGUUUCUGAACAUACUAGCUCUUGUUUUGAGAAACAUUAUAUAAUACUACAGAAUAGGUUUUUUUUCCGAAAAAUCUAGCAUGCCAUGAAAAACAUUCAUAAAACACUUACAUAUAAGCCUGUACUCAGAUAUGGUAGUAUAGCUGCGCGAAGGUAAAUUCGUAAAACAUCUGUAAAUCACAUCAAUUAUGUACUCCACUAGGGGUAUCAUAGUCGCCCGAAGGCAUAACAUGUCCAUCACCCGAAGGUGAAGCUGUACGACACCCGAUUACGCCAGUGAAGGAACAUGGUAGGCCCUAUCACCCGAAGGUGAAGCUGUACGACUAUAGGUUACGCUAGAGAAGAAAAAUACCCAAAUAUACAUAACACAUCGACAGUAGCAGUGGCUAGUGAAGCUGUCCGGCACUGGUUUCGCCAGUGAAGUUGGGGGUAUGACAUAAAUAUCAACAAUUGUGUCCUAUGGCCAUAGACGUCUACAUACCCGUGUUGUGUGUAUAUAUUGUAUGAUAACCCACUACAUAAGUACCAAAACGUAUCUCAAAAACUCAUAACAAAUCUCCGGAGCUCAAGGGCUCAAAACAUCAAUUCAUAAACCAUGAUAAAUCAUAUUCAUAAAUUCAUAAUAUAAAUCAUAUUCGUAAUCUAGAGAAUUUCAAAUACAGAAAACCAAUAAUUCAUAACCUUUCGUAAAACAUAAAUUCGAUAAAUCAUAAAUAACGCAUAAAACGUAAGAUUAUGAAAUCAUGCUUUUCGUGAAUGCAUGCCUAAUAUUUUAUAAAACAUGCAAGUUAAGAAGGGGUCCACUCACAGAUAUUCAAUUCUAGGAAAGCCGGUCAAACUAGGGAUGAUAGAAUCACUUCCAAUUGAUGCACCUAAACACAAAUGGAGAUCGUUUAAUAAAACUCUACUAAAACGAUAGAAUUUGGGGAAACGAACAACGGAUUUGGAUUUGGCACGUCGAAAAACCUAAGAAGGGACAUCGGGUUCCCUAACGCGCCAUUGCACGCGCAUAGAUGGUCACUAGAAAGUUUGUCAAAAAAGUCAUUGAUGCCGCCAUGGACGACGGCGGAGCACAGUACCUUCGAUGGAGGCGCGUGUGCUUCAUGCGCCGGCCAUAGCAGCGUCCACGCAUGGCCUAUGAGCUGACCGUGGAAACUGUGUUUCAGGCUCAGGUCGAAUCUGGGCUUAGGUUACUCGGUUAGGCCGAGUUAUAGGGUUGGGCCUUAGUUAAUGGAUUGGAUUUUGGGUCGAGGAUUUGGACCAGAUUUCAUAUUGGAUUUGGGUCUGGUUUUGGGUUGUGGGUCGGGUUGACCCGAUUGGGCUCGGGGCUCACUGGACCCAACGAAGGAGAAUCAGAAUUCUAGGGAUUUUGGCCAAGAAACUUCCUCGGCUCUGAUUUGGGGUUAAAUCUUAACCAUUUCCCACGUUCUACUUACCCUAAGUCAGCAGUGGCCGGAGUUGGCCAGAAUUUGGCUUUCAAGCUAUCUGAUUUAUUGCCAAAAACUAGAGAUUCUAAGAACACAAGCAUGCAUGAAUAAUUAGUCCCAAACUCAACCCUAAUUCAUCAUGAGCAUCUCACGAACAUCGAAAAGAGAAAGGAUCGCAGGCAUCCCGAGUCUUACCUAGGUCGAAGUUGUUAAGAACCUUUAUUGUUCUUGCAUAGCGAUCACAAACUCGAGGGAGAGAAAUAGGGAGAGAAGAUGGUGGUGGUCUGGAGGGUUCAAGUGGUAUAAAGGCUUGCCAAAGAGGCGACGUGAUGUGGUGGUGGUGUUGUGUGUGUGUUGCUUGGAAAGAAUGAGAGAAUGAUAGAGAGAUGAGGGAGAGAUUUCAAGAGAGUUCGAGAGCAUCGGGGGAGAAAACAUGGGGAAGGAGGGAAAGUGGGGUGAACAUGGGGAAGGAGGGAAAGUGGGGUGUGGGCCCCACAGCUCACAAAAAGCAUACACAAGAAUAUCCCCAACAUAAAAUUACCAAAUUGCCCUUCACGUUCGUGAGUCCGUAAAAUCUCCAUCUUAGCACCAAUUUCAAUUUCCCUUAUGCCCAUGUAUUCGUAGUGACGAGUACUACAAGGACAUGCCAAGGAAAAGAACCUUACGUGAUACAACAAGGUAGUCAACAAAAGUCAACGUUUUGCCUUGAAGGGCAUUUUCGUAAUUUCACGCUUAUAAAACUGAAAUAUUUGGGGACAGGUCGUUACAGUGGGCACAGUCUGAUUUAAACAUGUUUCGCACCUAAACUAGUGACCCAACCAAUUAUUAAAUGAUGGAUCAUUUUUGUUCCAUUUUAAAUAAAUCUGGGUGAAAUUAAAUCAAACCAAACCAAAUAUUUGUGUCCAAGUCCAAUCCUUUUUUUCUUUUGCAAUUUUGUUGUUAGUACAUAGGCCAACAUGUACAUGUGAAGAAAAUACGAAUACAAUAAGAAAGGGAUGUUCGGUUGUGAUUUGUAUAGGAUCAAAAUCAUGGUUUUAUCGUUUGGUUCGAUUUUGAGACCGUUUGAAUUGUUGAUGAUCAAUACCGAACCAAAUUGCUCCUUACAAUUUGAACCGAUCAGUUUGAUCCUCACUCCUACAUACAUGUGCAAAAUAUAAAUAAACCAGAAACAGAAAUAAAAAAGAAGGAAUUUCGUCUUUAUUACUUUGUAUUAUGUAUAUUCUGUCAAAUAUAAUCAUUUAAAUUGGGAAAGCUAAUGAACCUUUUUUUUACAGCUUACACAACUUAUCCAAGGAAACAAUGCAGCAUCCUGUACUUAUUCACUGUCAAGAAGAUUAAAUAUAAAUUAAACGUUGUGGAAUAAAAAUCUAAUUAACUUUUGCAGGUUCUGUUGGAUUCGAACCGCCGGGUGGGGCAGGAGCCUUCAGCAGUACUUGCCUGAUAAUCAGAUCCUCAAUAGGGAAGUCCUGAUUAUGCAAAACAUCCUUCUUCACCGUCAUCAACUUGUCUUUCCCAUGAUACAACACUCUGCAGGCCUCAUUCGACUGCGUGUUCACAAGAAAAACCACUACCAUUGCCACCAAAAGUAUAUUUAAAAACUUCAUGUUGUUCCUUGUUUGUCAAACAAUGACUUUAUUAAUUUGCUCUUUUUUUCUUCUCUUUUCUUCUCAAGCUGUAUGCAAUGCAAAUAAAAGAUGGAAAUCGGAAGGAUUGAGUUGCAAUGAAUAAUAAGUGGGGGGAUAUUUUAUAGGGCUUGCUAGCUCUGCUAUUAUAUAUAUAUGAAAUAUUGUGGACUAACAGAACUGAUAUUAUACGACUUGAAAUUUUCAAUAACAUUUACCGAGCUAUAUUUAUAUGUUUUGACCAUUGACGGUCGUUUCAAAAUGUUAGAAAUUGAAUAGUAAACCGAGUGAGAAAUUUGGGAAUUGAUCAAAUUCAUUUGCUUCCUUGGCAAACUGAUGAGAACUGAGAACUAAAGGAUAUGGUGGGGAAGCGUUUACAAAGACCUUUGAAAGUUUGUAGUAUUGGGUGUGCUAACCUUUUACACGGCAUGAAUAUAAAAAAGUUGAAUUUUAUCGUGAUCGCUGAAGUCCCAUUUGACCUUAAAUUAAUGUCAUGCAUGAUAUAAAGAAUGACUAGAUUAGUUUCUAUUAUGAUUUGGUGUAAUAAACACUCUCACGAGGGAAUGCACAUACCAUACUUUUUUUCAAAUACCGUAUUUUCAUUAUACAAAUUUUAUAAUCUUAACGCUAAAAUUGUUGUGGUAGAUAAGAUGAUGUCUUGUACUUUUUAUUUAAUUGAUAACAUGCUUUGAUCGUGGUAGAACUUCAAACUUUUCAUCAUGUCCAGAAUAGUAACGGGCACAAUGUCCGUGGUAGAUUGCAAUCAACCACGGGCAUUCACCGUGAUAGAUGUGGGUUUUUCUUCUUGUAUAUAUAUGUGUAAUGCUAGAGAGAGCAAAUUACUAAGCCAAAUGGUGUGAAUGUGGAUGUGGAUGAUUAGAUUAUAACUUAAGCGUUGAUUAACGUGCUUAUUUCAUGUCGGUGACACAUCAUUUGUUUGCAACUAGAAGAAAAAAAGCUCAUCUAUAAUGGUUGAUGCCCAUGGUAGAUUGCAAUCCACCACGAACAAUGUGCCCGUUAGUAAUCUGGAUGUGAUAAAAAGUCAUAGUUUCAACUACAGGCUAUGCUCGUUGUCUAAUGUGAUGCAACCACGGAACCACGGAUUGUGCCCGUGGUAGAUUAAAAUCUAACACCACGUGCACUAUAGACGUUGUGGAUUCCAAAUUGACCAAAAACAAUGCCCGUUAUAAAACAAUUCCCAAAAAUUAAAAAAAAAAUUCAAUAAAAAUUAUAUAUAUAAAUAUUUAUAUACAAAUUGCAUAUUUACUACAAUAUAACGAUUACAUAAAAAAUCAUAGAUUAAAAUUUCAAUUAUUACAAGCUGUACACUAAAACUAAUAACAAACCAAUGAGUUAUACUAAGAAAUACCAAACCAUCCAAGAAGUAUCAAAUAGGCCAUAACAAGGACAUUGUCGCUUGAACACUUCAGAUUUCUUUGAAUACCUCCAAACAAAAGGGCCUUGAGAGUGAAAUACUGCCCCUAAUGCUUGACCCUUAACAAUUGUUGCCUCUCUCUAUCUACGUGGACAUAAGCAUAUGGAUCAAAAGAAAGAAAGUCAAAAGUUAACUAGCUUGUAGAGAUAUAUGAAUCUCCAAUAGUCCAAAUAAGAAGCCAAAAAUUAACCAGUAAAGAAUCGAACAGAUAUACAGACCUAACUCUAACAAGAGCAUGUAGUGCAAAAUUAGAAUUGCAUAUACAGUGAAUGAAGUAAAUACAGAGCUUAACUUACAAUCAUCAAUUCUCAGGUUUCUAGGUAUUCCUCUCAACUGCUCUGCCUCUAAAACUAGAAUUUCAUGUACAGUUUUUGCCUCUAAACCUUUCUAUUCAUGCAUCCCUCUAAAACUACAUAUAUUUAUGCAAACAUAUACUAUACAAGAUUAACCAAAUCAAUACCAUAAACAGAGACUUUUUUGUUUUUAAUAAACCAUAAACAUUAGUAACCAAACCAAUACUAUAAACUAAAUCAUUAAUUAGCCCAAAAAUUAAUAUGAAAUUCUUACCUUGUCUGCAAGUUCUUUGUACAAAUAGAAACUGGAAACUGCAAAGCAAAGAAACCACGGCUUAAGAAUGAAACAUCACUCAAAAUUUAUAUUAAAAAAAACUUAAAACAUAUAAAAAGUUAAAAACUACCUGUGGAGAAGAGGGCUAGCAUGUCUCAAAUCUAGAGUCUUGAAAUAUUAAUUUCAUUAGAUUACUAAUUCAAGACGGACUGACGAUAACGAUUGAUUUUUAUUUUCCAUAUUCAACACCAGAAUUUCAUAACUUUUUCUCCAAAGGCUGCCCACUAAUUAAAGUUUUCAAGUAAACAAUUGGUGAUAAAAUCAAACUCCACAAACUAAAAUUAUAAGCAUGAAUAAGCAUUGAGUUUGGUAUGAUUAAAGACCAAGAAGGGGAAAUUAGAAUCACAAUUUGGGAUGGAAUUCAAGAAACACAAUUCCAAAAAGAGUAUAAUCAGAAUCACACUUAAGGAGUUGGGAGUCAAAAUUGUCUAAAUAAUAUCAUUAAAUUCAGAUAACAACGAAAAAAAAAAAAAAACCAAGCACUCUGAUUGGAUUGCAGAAACAAGCAUGCAAUUAAAAAACUAGUGCAGCCCUCAGUCUCUCAGUUUUCAAACUCCUUAACCCCUUCAAUGCUCACCAUUCGAAACCCCAAAACACACAUUUUCAUAGAGAAAGCCAUAAAUCCAACUCCAUCUCUCUGGUUUUGAAACCCUAGCCCAAUCCCCGAUCCCUAAUCUUUCGAUUUUAAAACUUGAGAUCAAAAUCACCAAAAUGGAGAACUUGAAAUCAAAAUCGAAGAAGUAAUACCUUCAACGAAAUUUGGACAUAUGUAAAUCAAAAUCAAAUUUAAAUUCAAGUUCGAAAUCGAACUCAACUGGAAUCAGAUCGAAGCAAAAUCUAAUAAACAAUAGCAAUUUGAGAAAUCAAAAUUAAAGAAAUAUACCGAGCGCACACCUGAAGAAGUUAUAACAUAGAAAGAAAGAAUCACAAUUUCAUCAAUGGUGGAGAUUCGCCGCCCAGAAUUUAAUCGAUCUCAGAGAUCGAUUCCUAUUCCGCCACCGCCUCUGAAAUCCACCGAGAUAUACACCAGCGAGAUCUCGUGCUCUCUAGUUGGAGACGAAGACGAAGAUCCUAUAGAUUGGGAAUACCUGACAUGCCCAAAGAAAUAGAAAAAAAAAUUAGGGUUCGAAUAGUGUAUACGAACAAGGCAAAGAAAUGAGUAGUUUGGGGUCGGAGUAAUUGUCGACAUAAGAAUAGGGGGUGAGACCUAGUGGUUGGCAGUGUCUGAUAUGAAAACGGUAAAUAGGUUUCAUUGAGAUCUGAAAUUUGAGUGUGUAUUCUUAUACUGGUUGAUUAAAAAAAUGAAAAAUUAUAAUUAUAACGACAGUACUUACAGUUUGUGGUAGAUUUAAAAUGUCGCUGUUGUCAAAAUUUUUGUAACCACAGACAUGCCUCGUGAUAAUAUAUAGCCAAACCACAAUGGGCUUUAAACACAUGUUGCUUCAACACCUUCAGUCACUGAUCACUCUACGCCUGUUGUUAAACUAAUUUAUUUACCACGAACUUCAAACGUCUGUCAUUAAAUUGGACUUUUUAUAACGGACUUCUUAUGUCCAUGGACAAUCAGCCAUGGUAGAUAUGGUGCUGUGGCGUAUAAAUUUGGUCCCUAGCAUUAUCUAUAGUUAACUGCUAUUAACCAUCCCAACUAAUCACCUCAUAGGAUGGUGACACGUGGCAUACACAAAGUGAUCACAUUUGUCACUUAAUGUUAUAACCCAAAAAAAGACGUGCGUCACUUAAUACAUUCCAUAUAUAUAUAUUUGGGAGUUUUAACAAAAAGCCCACGGUACUGUUCAUUUUAAAGAAAAAUCACAUUUUUACACUAAAAAGUCAAACCUGAUACUAUUUACUUUACCCUUUAUUUUGUCCUUAUCGUUAAAACUCAAAGUUUUCAAGCAUUUUUCAUUAGUUUUCCUUUUGCAUGUAAAUUUUCUUGAUGAUUAUUAUUUUUUAAAUGAUGCAAAACGUUAAUAAGUUUAAAUCAAACUCAACGGGGAGGAGCGUAUGAAUUAACACCAAAACCAUGGAUCCAACUAACAGCUAGCGCGCGCCAACUGUUUGAUAUAUAUUUUGAAUUUGAUGCUCCACAGUCCACAGGCAUAUAGUUCAUGAUAUUGCAUGACAUUGUAAAACAAACAAAACGUUCAUAUGUUAUUGCAUGACUCACGUUAUUAAUGCAUACUAAUUUCAGAUAUCAUGUAAUGUUAGACACUGUCAUACACCAUGCACUUUUUGUGAACUGAAAUAUUUAGUUGAAAGGAUUGGUGUUGGCUUCAAAUUGUGAAUGGCACUGUUUAGUUGAAAGGGUUUUUUUCUCCGGCACGAGUUAUUUUAUCAGUGUAACAGUUACACCGUCACAUGGUAUUACCUAUCCAUUCAUGUUGUAAUGAGUGGAAUGCUAAAUAACACUAAGUGAUGGCGAAACCGUCUCACUUUAAAAUUAGACUAAAAAAGGUGCCUUAAUUUCAAACCAGAUAUGUAGAGCUUUCACUCUAACACAAACACACACAUUUGUGGUAUAAUACUUAUGUAUAUCUCUAUGCAAAACACUGUCAGAGGUGUUUGUAGACCAGGUAAUAUAUUUUCGCAAUUUUAUAGUUUAAUUUCUGGUCAACAAAAUGGUGUUUGAUUUUAAACUCACUGUUAAAUUAAAAGGUAACAAACCCAUGCUAGAGCUACAGAUGCACACAGGCACAAAAAGAAAUUAAUAAAUAUAUAUAAUUUUCUCUGUACUUCGUAUUAUUCAGUCAAUUUCAUACACAUUAGGAACCUAAUACACUUUUUUUUUUACAUUCUUACACAUCUUAUAUAAGAAAAAAAAAAAAAAAAACCCUAAACUGCAGGCAUUUUCCUGUACUUAUUCACUGCUAAGAAAAUAUAUCAAAUGUUUAAAAGGGGUUAAAAAUUAAUUCUGCUAGUGCUUUUCGUUGAUGGUUGCAGAGUCUUUGGAAUUGGUACUACUUCAAGGUUUAGUUGGAUUAGGACCUCCGGGAGGGACAGUGCCCCUAAGUAUUUGCCUGAUCAAAGGGAAGAAGGGACGAUCCAUCUGAUGCAAAACAUCAUUCUUCAUCUGAUGCAUAAACUUUUCUUCUCCAUGCAACACUCUGCAGGCUUCGGACGAUUGCAUGUUCAUAAGAAAAACCACAAAAAACACUGCCACCAAAAACAUUUUUAGAAACUUCAUUUUGUUGGGCAGACAAAGAUUAUUUUGCUUCUUUAUUCUGUGGAAGAAGAAGGAAUGAAUGAAUGAAGAUAAAGAUAAAGGUUUGUUGGAAACUAGAUUUUGCUUCUUUUGUCUGUCUGAAAAAUAGAAAGGAUUGAAGUAAUGAAUGAAUUGAAGGAAUGAAUAGAUGGGGAAUACGGGGGCCUCUUUUAUAGGCAUCAAUUAAGACCAACUUUCAUUUGACUUUGAUUUUUAUAAAUCUAUUUGUUUGUUUUGACUUGGAAUUGAAUGGGUCGUCAUACCCGCAAGGGCUUUGGUUUUAACUUUUGAAUUGAAUGGGUCGUCAUACCCGCAAGGGCUUUAGUUUUAACUUUGAAUUGAAUGGGUCGUCAUACCCGCAAGGGCUUUGGUUUUAUGGCUUCACCAUAUUGUGGGCCUAUAACAAAUCAAGGCUAAUUAAUAAAACACAAUCGUUCUUUUUACUCUUAAGUUGAGCUAUAGCCUGUUUGUUUUUUUUUUUUUUGGAAACGAGCUAUAGCUUUGUUUACUUAAUUAAUCUAGACAGUAAAACCUCUAUAUAGUCAUCAUGUUAGAACCAAGAGAAUUUUAUAACUUUAGGGACGUUAUUACUUAAUAGAGGUGUAGCUAAAAAAUAUUAUUAGUGGAGUACGUCAAUUUCUAAGAUGUAACAUUGAAAAAAGAAAGACACUCAAUCUUUAAAAUCUAGUGCAUGUUGUAUGUAGUACUCUCUUUAAGUUUAAUGCUUAUCGGAAACAUGCUUGAGAAGCUAGAAACAGUCCAUUUGACGAGAUAUUACGUACUUGCAAGCUCAAAAGCAUGAUAUAAACUUUAAAAAAAUAAUACAUUGUCUCAAACAAUUAUAGAGAAAUAUUUUAGUUCAUCUUAAACUUGUAUUUGUAGCGUUGCAUAUUUUUGUACUUAUUAAUAAUUAUUACUACAUGGGGGUGAGGUCUUAAUACGUGACCUAUAAAAAUCAUCUUAUUAUAAUGCGGAGUUUAUUCUUUACAUAUAUAACUGAGUGCAAGUUGGGACCAUAAAUUUUUAUCACAAUUAAGGAGGUUAUUCCUAUAUAGAGUAUUAUGAUAAAGAAGUUUUACUGUAUAUUUUGUAAUUAAGUUGUCCUGGUUCAAUUUUUUUUUAUUAACAUUACUAAUGGUAUAGAGGUAUUUUGACCAACUCUUGUCGAGUUUUUUCACUAUUUUCUUGAAUCGCAAUUUUGAACAGAAAUUGGAGUUUUUGCAUGCAAGUAAAAGCGUGUAUAAGGCCUUUGAAGUUUGAACGUUGACUAUUUUAAUUGAAGUUUUAGUUGUCAGCUACGGUGUUGGUGUGUGCUAACCACAUAUAUGUUAACGUAUACUGAAAUCCGAAUCUGUAGUGAAUACUCAAACAAGAAAAGGAGAAGAAAGAAGAGUUCUAGAGAGAGACUGAAUGUUUAGAGAGAGAAACUUAUGUAUUGAUCUGACUUGAAGAUUACAGUAAUUCCAUUACAUCUUAUAUAGUUUGCACUACUUACAUCAGUAACUAUAUCAGUUAGUUAUAACACCUUUAACCAACAUAACCACCAAUAGUCUAUUAGCUAAGCUGAUGUGGCAUUGCCAGCUGUUAUUACUGUCAACAUCCCCCCUCAAUCUAAGCUUGGGGUGACAAGCUUCAGAUUGUAACAAUGUCUGAUGAAUGCAGGACUGUGAAGACCCUUUGUUAGAACAUCGGUAGUUUGCUCGUCAGUAGGAACAUAGGCCACUGCAAGAUCUCCUUUUUAUACCUUCUCCCUUACAAAAUGAUAAUCGGUAUCCAAAUGUUUUAUUCUUGAGUGAAACACUGGAUUCGAACUUAAUGCAAUAGCUGACAUGGUAUCACAAUUAAUAACAGGUGGUUGAAGUAAAACACACUUCAAAUCUAUCAAAAUUUGUCUAACCCAAGCUAUAUCAGCAGCUGUAUGAGCAAGGGCUUUGUAUUCAGCUUUUGUAGAACUUCUAGAUAAUGAAGUUUGUUUAUUUAAUUGCCACGAAAUAGGAUUUUCUCCAAGAAAAACAAUAUAUCCAAUCACUGAUCUUAUGGUAUUAAGAUCCGCAGCCCAAUCAGAAUCAGAGAAAGCCGUGAGAUGCAUCUGUGAUUGUGAAGAAUAGACUAUACCAUGUUGCAUCGUACCAUGAAGGUAUCUAAGAAUCCUUUUUACAGCACCAAAAUGAACCUCAGUUAGUGAAUGCAUGUGUUGACAUACUGUAUUCACAGCAAACACAAUAUCCCGUCUAGUAAACGUAUGAUACUGCAAGGAACCAACAAUGCUUCUGUAUGAACAAGGAUCUGAAAGUAACACUCCUUCUGUCACCAUCAUUUGAUUAUGUGGUCUAUAUGGUGUAUUGGCAGGCUUGCAAGAAUCCAUACAUGCCUUAUGAAGUAAAUCCUUUAUGUAUUUCGACUGAUUUACAAAAAUGUCUCCAUUUGGUUUAUAUUGAAUCUAUAAAACAAGGAAAUAUGUCAGCUUCCCCAAAUCUUUCAAGUCAAACACAAAAGAGAGCUCUUGAACUAUGAGUUGUACUUUAGUCACACAUGAUCUAGUCAAUAUUAUAUCAUCAACAUAGAGCAAUAAUAUGAUGAUAUCAUUGUUAUCAGUUUUGAUAAACAAACUAGUAUCAGAUACUGAUGUAGUAAACCCCAUUAUCACCAAGUAGCUUGUAAAUUUUGAAUUCCAAGCCCUUGGGGCUUGUUUGAGUCCAUAUAGUGACUUGAGGAGUUUGCAUGCAUAAUUGGGAUGACUUGAAUCAACAAACCCUUGUGGCUGUUUCACAUAAACUUCUUCUUGUAGCUCACCAUGCAGAAAUGCAUUCUUGACAUCAAGUUGUUUCAAUUCCCAUUUAUUCAUUGCAGCCAAAGCAAGAAUGAGUCUUACAGUUGUAUGUCUCACAACUGGACCAAAAGUAUCUGAAUAAUCUACACCAUGCUCUUGAGAAAACCCUUGAGCAACUAGUCUUGCUUUAUACCUUGAUACAGUACCAUCAGGAUUUCUUUUCACCUUAUACACCCAUUUGCUUCCUAUUAUUAAUCUAUGAUCUGGUGCAGGUACUAAAUUCCAAGUACCUUGAAUUCGAAGUGAAUCAUACUCCUCUUGCAUUGCUUGUUACCAAUGUGAAAUAGAUGUUGCUUGUCUAAAACAUGUAGGUUCUAAUGAAUCUGCAAUCUCUGAAAUAAAAGAGAAACCUCCCACAAAAGGAUCAUCAUUUGUUAUCUACAAGGUGUUUAACUCUGGGAACGUUGCAAUUAAGGCUGUAUAAUUUUUCUUUUGGAUGGCACCAAACUUCAACCUUGUCACCAUUGAAUGUUCAUUACCAUUUUGUGCUUGAAUAUCAUGUGGUACAAUUGCUUGAGAAAUUGGUAAAAUUACCUCCAGUUGUGAAGAAUCGUGAACUGGUAACAUAGAUAACCUUGAAUCUGUAGGACUUGAGUAAUGAUGGUGAGGAGAUGAAACCUAAGUAUCAGAAUGCUGACUUACUGCAGACUCUGAAGGUUGAGACAUUGCCAUAUCAGAAUUUCCUGAAGCUACUGGAUCUGAGCCUUGAGAAUGUGAAAGGACUUCUAUAGCUUGUGCAGAUCCUCUAUCUUGGUGCACUGAAGAUGGAGUAAUCGUAUCCCUUGGUAAUUGAAUCGUAAUAGGCCUUGAAUGUUGGAAAGAUGAAGAACUAGACUGUUGUACCUUUGACACGUGUAUAUUCCAAUAAGGAAAUAUCUCUUCAUCAUGUACAACAUGUCUAGGAAGGAUUAAUUUCCCUGAACCAAUGUUAUAACAUAUUACUCCCUUAUAUCCCAUCAUAUAUCCCAAAAAUACACAUUGAGUUGUUCUUGGUUCAAGUUUAUUUGCAUUAUAAUGCCUCAUGAAUGGAUACACUGUAGGCCCAAAAAUCUUCAAAUUUUGAACAUCAGGUUCUUGUCCAAUUAACACCUGAUAUGGUGAUUUCAUAUGCAAUAUUCUACAUGGCAUUCUGUUUAUUAGAAAUGCAGCAUGUGAACAUUCAUGAAACCAAAACUGAGCUGGUAACUUUGCUUCUUUCAUGAGUGUUACUGCAGUCUCAACCACUUGUCUGUGUUUCCUCUUAGCAAGUCCAUUUUGCUGAGGGGUAUAAGGACAUGAAAUCAUGUGUUUUAUACCCUUUGUAUCCAAAAAAUCAACAAACAUUCUACUUGUAUACUCUCCCCCUCCAUCAGAUUGUAAACACUUAAGUGAAGCACUGAAUUGAGUUUGUAUAAAAGCACAAAACUUAACAAAUAUGGAAACACUUCAGACUUGUUAUUCAUUAGAAAAAUCCACAAAAAUCUUGAAUAUUCAUCUACAAAGCUCACAUAGUAUCUAUAACCCUAUACAGACACCUUUGGAGAUGGCCCUCAUACCUCAGUGUGAACUUUCUCAAACAAAACAUGUAGUAAUAUUUUGUCUUACUGGAAACGACUGUCUUCUCAUUUUACCACUCAUACAAGAAGAACAUAUGGACUCACAACUAUCUACUUUGACACUAUUAUUAAACUUCUUCAGCAUUGCAGCAAGCACCUCUUCUGACGGAUGACCUAACCGCUUAUGCCACCUCGACACUUGAAUCUUCUUUCCAAUAAAGCCAGCAUAACGCUCAACUUUGCAGCAAAAGACUUUGCAAAGACAUUGACUGAAAUUGAAAACAGCUCCCCAUCAUCACUUGUCCCUGUGUACAGUAUCUUCCUUGUUGCCUUGUCCUGUAUGAAGAAGACAAUAUCAUCACAUAUAAACCAACAUCCAUUAUCUCUGCAUAACUUCUUAACAGAAAGUAAAUUCACAGUGAUUUUAGGUACACAAAGCACAUUUUUUAACAUAAAAAACUGUUUAGAAAUAGGGAUGCUUGUGGAACCAAUAUGUGUUACUUCUAAUCCUGUACCAUUCCCAAUUGUAAUGGUUCCAUCACCAAUAUAAGGAAUAACAUGAUUAAGAUGAUUUAAAUUUGCAGUCAUGUGAUGAGUUGCACCUGAAUCCAAUAUCCAGUUUUCUUCAGCUGUAAAACCAACACUAGAUCCUUCAGUUUGAGUUACAUUGGCUUGAGCUAUCAUAGCUGCAAUCGAUGGUGGUGGUGGAGGAUUUCCCUGAUAUGCAAAGUUGUUUCUGUGAAAGCAUUCAAGAGCUAUAUGCCCCAUUUUUCCACAUAUCUGACAAAUUACAGAACUAGAAUAAUGUGAACCUCCACUCUCAGCUCUAUAGUAGCAGUGUGGUGCAGUGUGUCCCCUUCUCAAACAUAUUUGGCAUUCAGGUGAUACUGAGUACUUAAAGUUGGUAUUCCCAUUCCAAUUGGACUUAUAAUUGCCAUGGCCAGCAGAUGAAUUAGUUGAGGUGAAACCAUUACUUGCAGAUUCAUAUCAUGCAACACUCUUACCACUUCCAGAGUAACCAUUAUUCCCAUUUUUGUUAUUAGAUCCGGAUGAAAACCUGGAAUUGUGAUUCCCACCUCCAAAUUUUCUAUUAUUAAAAUUUCCUCUCUGUGGAGACUGAAAACCUCUACUACCAUUACCAUUUCCAAUUCCUGAAAAACCAUUUCCUCCUUGAAAAUUGCUACCAAACUGAUCAUUAAAACCAUUUCCUCUCUGAAAGUUGUUACCGAAUUGAUCAUUACUGAGACUAACCUGAGACCUCUGAGAAUUGGAACUCUCACCAUGUUCAUACCCUUGAAAGCCUUUUAAACCUAAUCCUUCACCUUGAACAACCAUGGCAGACAUAGAACUAGAUAAAGAAUGCAUUCUAGAUUCAAUACUGCCUUCUGCUACAAGCAAUUGUGCUCGAAAAUCUUUGAUAGACAUAGGAGAAUCUCUUGCCAAUAUGACUGUCUUAAUCAUCUCAAAGUUAGCAGGCAAACCAGAAAGAACAGCAAUGAUGAAAUCAUUAUCAGUAACCUUUUCUCCUGCAGAUACCAAUUGAUCCCUUAUCCUUUUUAGUCUCAUUAAGAAUUUAUCAACCGAAUCACCACCUUUCUGAGCAGUAUGCAAUUCAGUUUUAAGUUGAUUCACACGAACCAUUGAGACAAAGGCAAAUCUUUCUUGCAAACAUUUCCAAGCUUCAUAAGAUGUUUUACAUCCAAUCACAUGUUUCAUAGCAUCAUCCGAAAGAGUUGCAAUUAGCAAACUUAACAAAGCUAGAUCAUUUUUUUCACCCAAUCUUUGUAAGCAGCAUUAAUUUCAUUUGUGACCCCAGAUUUUGUAUCAAUCACAUACUUAGGUGGACAUGGUGCUUCUCCAGUGAAGAAAUCAAACAAAUCAUACCCCCUCAACACAGAUGAAAAUUGAUAACUCCAUUUCACAAAAUUAUCAUCUUGCAACUUUACUGUCAACAUCCCUAACAUAUUCACAAUUCUAACAUUAGAUUCAGCCAUCUUCACACACUAAAGAUUAUCAAAAGUACAACCCAAGAUUUCAAACAACAAGUUGUAUAACCACAGAAAUCAAGAAAUACACCUUUCUUAGGCAAUCAGCCUUUAAUGAAGAAAGAGAACAGAAUUGCACAAGAACUACACUCUGGUAAUCGGCCUUAAUGGAGUUGCACCCAAUAACAACAAACAACAAACUUCGCAAGAAAGUUACUCCGGCUAUCGGCCUUAUGGAGGAAACUAACAGUUUACACCGAGAUAAUGGCUUCGGCCUUAUAUCUCAAAUCAAGAUUGCAGAAAGAUGGCAUCAGCCUUGUUUACUUUCGCACAAAAUUCAACAAACCCAGAAGAAAUAACCUUGAGACAUUUUCACAAACAGAUAGAGUGCAGAAAACAUACUGUACUUUCAAGAAACACCAAGCCUCCGACUGAACGCACAACACUGAUUAAGCCUCACGAAUUCGAGACUGUCACCAAGAAAGAUCUCCGGCAACAACCACCAUGAGCAGAAGAUGAUAGCCACCAAGGAACGUACACGGCGAUGAUACCAUGUUAACGUAUACUGAAAUCCGAAUAUGUAGUGAAUACUCGAACAAGAAAAUGAGAAGAAAGAAGAGUUCUAGAGAGAGAAACUUAUGUAUUGAUCUGACUUGAAGAUUACAGUAAUUCCAUUACAUCUUAUAUAGUUUGCACUACUUACAUCAGUAAGUAUAUCAGUUAGUUAUAACAGCUCUAACCAACAUAACCACCAAUAGUCUAUUAGCUAAGCUGAUGUGGCAUUGCUAGCUGUUAUUAUUGUCAACAAUAUAUACAUUACACACACAGAAAUUGAAUCAUAUUGUGAGACUCAAGUCUUAUUUGACGUGAAAUGUUUCCGAGCUAUGUUUAUUUAAUUAAUUAAGACAUCUCUAAAACUAAUUAAGACUUCUCUAAUCAGUGACGGAUUCAGGAUUUUAAACUCGAGGGGUCUCAUUAAUAAAGGUCAAAAAAUUUAUAGACAAAAUUAACAUUGAAAAGUUAAAUAUAAUAUAUUUCAUUCAAAAAUCAUACGCAAAACAAUAUUACAAGCUAUAAAAUCCUAAUUCAAGCGUCCCCAACAGGGUUUUAUAGUCUAAAAUAUUCUAUGAUAGCUUCAUUACCAAUACAUGAAAAACAUCUUUCUCAAUGUAAACAACUAAGCUGUCACUCAACCAUCUUUCUCAAUGAACAAAUAGAUGGUGCUAUUGGUUUUGGCUUGAAAAAUCUCUUCAUAUUUUUUAUUUCUAAACUACACAUUUAACAAAAAAAAAAAAAAACACAAACCAUAUACCAAUUAACAAACAUAUCAAAUGAGUAUACAAACAUAUCAACAAACAUAUCAACAAUCAUAUCAACAAUCAUAUCAACAAUCAUAUCAAUAAUAGACUAAACGUCUCGAUCAAUAUCUAAUAUAAUUUAAUUAAGAUUAGAUCAUAAUACUAAACAAUUUACUUGACUUUUGAACCAAAUGGUGGUGGCCUGGAUAUUUGAAACAAGUGAAUGUAUGAUUUUGGAGUAAUAAAAUUAUAAUAUGGGAUUGGAUGGAAUUUAGAAUUUUAGGGUUUUGAAAUCUGGGGAGCUGGGGAUUGGAAUUUGGGUGAAUAUGUUAAAGUUGGGCAUUGGGGGAAGCAUAUGAGCGGGGAAUGGUGGGACUGUGGGGAUAGGUGUGGGUUGGGAUUUAAAACAAUAUGGACAAACGACAUACCUUGUUUUAGGCCAAUUGUUAAAAAGGGUCAUAUAUUCUUUCUUCUCCUCGAGCGAUUGUCUUCUCCGAAAAGAAGACGCCACUGCAACUUGCAACCUGCACAUCAUAGACCUCGUGUUCGAGUACGAAACGUCCCCGAAAAAUUUCUAGCAGCGAUUUAGGGUCGUCGAGGGGUCCUAGGACCUUCUAGGUCCCUCUGUAGAUCCGUUACUGUCUCUAAUUCACUAGCCAAAGCUUAGUAUUGUCUUUUCUCUUAGUUUUAUUAUAGAACAAAAUUGAAUAAGAAUAAGUCAUGAUGUCCAGAACGGCUAUCUCUAUUAUAAAAAAAUUAUCGUCAGUGAAAUUUGAACUCAUAAUACCACAUACUUAUUCUUCAGUUAUAGCACGAAAAAAAAUAAAAGAUCUCAGUCCUCGAAAUGAGGGAUUAGGGUUUUGGAAAGUCAAUGCAUCGUUUCGUCUUCUAGGGUUUGGGUUUGCACAGAAGACGAUUGCACGGGGUAGAAAGCAAGUGUGAGUAGGGUUUUGGGUUUGGCUUCUGCGUGCAUUGGCUGGCUUUAGGACUUCUAAUGUUUAACGGUGUCUCGGAAAAUAUGGGUGAACCAGACUUGAUUGGUAACAUGGAGGAACUAGGGAUUAAGUUAGGGUCCAAUCUAAAGCUGUCAGAGAAUGAGCGGAAGGGGAUUGGAAGGAAGGAUUUUGAAGAGGCUCUGAUUGGUUUUCAUUUUUGUGCUGUCGCUGAGGUUCUCACAAAAAAUGAGGUGCAUAAGGAUGCGUUUAUUGAUAGAUUUACCUCCCUAUGGAGAGAUAAGAGCGGGGUCUCAAUCAAGGAUGCCCAGUUUGAAACUGAACAAGACAUGGUUUGUGUGAUAGAUGCUGACCAACCAUGGACGUUCAAGAAAGACCUAGUAUUGGAAGUAGGGUUCAAUGUUGGAAGAAUAAUGCAAGAAGGGUCCGUAGGGUUCAAAGGGUCCGUAGGGUUCAAUGAUAAUGCAACCAUUUGUUUAAGUUCUUUGAUAGAUAACAGCUCAUCCUAGUGCUAUGUUAGCUGGUUGUUAUUCCACCAUCUUUGUAAAGCUAAUUAGUAGUUUAAGUUAGAGAGAGUGGAGGACACAAUGAUGCUUUGUUUAGCUGCCAGGAAGGUCACAAUGAUGCUGCCAUUGCUGCCAUUAUUCUCCUCCUUUCCAGCUCCACUCUCCUGCCCGUUUUCUUUUCAUAUAUAUGUUGUCCUUGUAGCUGGUUCUUUAUUAUGAAAUAUACAUUAAAAUCAAUACCUAGUCAUGGUGGCGGAUAUGACUCAGAUAGGUAAGAAUCGAUGAAAGCCUCUCACUCUUGGUUCUUUUUUGGUGUAACUUUAUAACAUUCAUCCUCUAAGUGUGACCAGGGUGCUCGCACAAGCCAUUGGAGGAUUGUUGGGUACGAUUCUGAGAGUGGACAAAAAUGUGAGUAAGGAGUGCAUUGGCAGAUUUCUAAGGGUCAAAGUCCAUUUUAACGUUAAGGAACCACUGAUGCGAUGAACGUUCGUACAAUUUCCCUAUGAGGGGAUGAUCUAGUUGGACUUUAAAUAUGAGUGUCUUCGAAACUACUGCCUAAUUUAUGGUCUCCUAGGGCACCUAUCUAGGGUUUGCAAAGAUCACAUGGAAGGGGCUGGCGUAGGGGUAGGCAACAGGAUGAAUGGGGAAGACAACUAUACUUUUAAGGAUCUUGAUACGGUGACCAACUUGCAAGGCAACCUGAUUCGUCUUGUUAAUCAUAAAGCUUUGAGGUCGGGGGAAAGUAGAGGUAAGAGGAGCGUAAUAAUGCAACAAAAAAGCGGGGAGACUGGAAGUAUUAAAAUUGGGAGCGAGGGGGAGAUUUCAAGUAUGACACUACUACAAUAUUAGCUUUAGGUGGCGGAUGAUGGUGGCGGAUAUUAAAAAAUCCUGUCGGAUAAAUUAUAUCCGACACAUCAUUUAAUUACUGGCGGAUAUUAGAAAAAUACUGUCGGUUCUAUCCGACAUAAAUUUCUGGCGGAUAUUUACUGGCGGAUAUUUACUGGCGGAAUUUUUGAAUCUUUUUUUUUUAAUAUUUUUUACAUAUCCUGGCGGUUUUUACCUUAAUAGUGGCGGUUAUAACCGACAGAAAUUGAUUAUUUUAUUAUUUUACUUUAUGGCGGUUAUUAUUUUAGUAUUCUGACGGUUAUAACCGACAUAGAUGAAAAUUUUAUUAUUUUAAAAUGUUAUAUUGAUUAAAAAUAAAUAAACACAUGUUUUAAAUAUUAUAUUUUUUGCGAUUUUUUACACAUGCUAUCUCAUAGUAUAUACGAACAUAUUUGACGAAUGCAUAUCCUAUCAAAUUGAUAGAUUUAACAAACAUUUAAGAGUUAAUGUUAUGCUUCCAUUAUUUAUAAAAUAAGAUUUAUCCACUAGUGUGAAUAUUUUAAAUUGAAGAUUGAAUUCAUUCAUUGCAUUCUUAAAGGAUCAAGGAGUGUAGCUGCAAAAAAUCAUCAAAAUCGGAGCUAAAAUAACCGUUAAAUUGUGAUAUUUCCUUUAUAACUGUUGAAAACUUUUGUUUUGUUACCUAAUCUCUGAACGUUUGCUUUUUGUGAUUUUUUACGUAUGUGAUCUUGGAGUGUUUACAAACAAGUUUGAUGGAUAGAUCAUUGAAAAAAGUUUCGUAGAAUGUGUAUUGCGUCAAAAUGGUAGAUUAAACAAACACUUAGAGUUAAUGUUAUACUUCCAUUAAGUAUAAAAUAAGAUUUAUCCACUAGUGUAAAUAUUUUAAAUUGAAGAUCGAAUUCGUUCAAUGCAUUCUUAUAGGGUCGAGGAGUGUGGCUGUAAAAAAUCAUCAAAAUCGGAGCUAAAGUAACCGUUAAAUUGUGAUUUUUCGUUUAUAACCGUUGAAAACUUUUGUUUUGUUACCUAAUCUCUUAAUGUUUGUUUUUUGUGAUUUUUUACGUAUGCGAUCUCGGAGUGUGUACAAACAAGUUUGAUGGUUGGAUCGUUGAAAAACGCUUCGUAGAAUGCGUAUCGCAUCAAAACGGUAGAUUAAACAAACACUUAGAGUUAAUGUUAUACUUCCAUUAAGUAUAAAAUAAGAUUUAUCCACUAGUGUAAAUAUUUUAAAUUGAAGAUCGAAUUUGUUCAAUGCAUUCUUAUAGGGUCGAGGAGUGUUGCUGUAAAAAAUCAUCAAAAUCGGAGCUAAAGUAACCGUUAAAUUGUGAUUUUUCGUUUAUAACUGUUGAAAACUUUUCUUUUGUUACCUAAUCUCUUAAUGUUUGUUUUUUGUGAUUUUUUUACAUAUACGAUCUCGGAGUGUGUACAAACAAGUUUGACGGUUGGAUCGUUGAAAAACGCUUCGUAGAAUGCGUAUCGCAUCAAAACGGUAGAUUAAACAAACAUUUAGAGUUAAUGUUAUACUUCCAUUAAGUAUAAAAUAAGAUUUAUCCACUAGUGUAAAUAUUUUAAAUUGAAGAUCGAAUUCGUUCAAUGCAUUCUUAUAGGGUCGAGGAGUGUAGCUGUAAAAAAUCAUCAAAAUCGGAGCUAAAGUAACCGUUAAAUUGUGAUUUUUCGUUUAUAACCGUUGAAAACUUUUGUUUUGUUACCUAAUCUCUUAAUGUUUUUGUGAACACGGAAAAUUCCUGAAACGAAAGAGACAAGAACAACGUGCACAAACAAAUAUUUGUAUUUGAUGAUUUUGGGUUACAAUCUCUCUCUAAUUUGAUCAUCUGAUUCGAUCUCCGUAAGGUGUUGAUUUGUGGGUGUUUCGUUGAUCCAAGGGCCGUCGAGGCUUGAUCUUGGAUGAACAGUUGGAAGUUUCUUCAAAGGGCCGUGGGCUUGAUCUUUGAAGGUGGAUUUGAGCGGAUCUUCAAGGAGCCGUUGGAGCUUGAUCUUGAGGAUGAAUGUUUCUUCAAGGGCCAUUUGAGGCUUGAUCUUGAAUAACGGUGAUGAGCGGAUCUUCAAGGGCUUUUGGGCUUGAUCUUGAAGAACGGUUGGAUGUGUGGAUUUGUCGACGUUUGUUGAUCCAAAGGACCGUUGGGGCUUGAUCUUGGAUGAACGGAUGAUGAAUGAUGGUGCUUUCUUCAAGGGCCGUCGGGGCUUGAUCUUGAAAGAGCGAUGAACGAAGAACGGAGAACGAAGAACACUUUCUUCAAGGGUCGUCGGGGCUUGAUCUUGAAUUGGUGGAUGAUUGUUGAUCCAAAGGGCCGUUGGGGCUUGAUCUUGGAAGAACGAUGAACGAAGAACGAAGAACACUUUCUUGAUUCUUCGGGAACCUGGAUGCUUGAGAGCUUCAGAGCUUCAAGGUAUAAUAUGAAUUGGUUGAUCAAAUGAAUGAAAUGGGCUUGUAUUUAUAGAAUUUUCCAAGGCCUAAUUUUGAAUAUAAUAUCCCAGAUGAAAUAAGUCGUUUCUGUCAGGUGUUGACACGUUUCCUAUUUGAUGACUUUUCCAACUCAUUUCAAUUUUCGUUGAGUCACACGCUACGUGUAAAAUUUAUGUAAUACAUGAGCGUUGACACUUUGAUUUAUUGGUCAACAUUUAUUUACCGAAAUUUCGAUGUCUACAAAUGCCCCCACUUCAAGUCGCGUCGUGUACAUGUGCUUGUCUCGUGUAGAAGAUGCGUUUUGAAGUCCCUUACUGUAGACGUCGAUCCAAGGGCCGUCGAGGCUUGAUCUUGAAUUAGGCUGGAGAUUUCUUCAAGGGCCGUUGAGGCUUGAUCUUGAAUUGGGCUUGAGAUUUCUUCUAGGGCCGUUGAGGCUUGUUUUUGAACUUUUGUUUGAAAUUUCUUCAAGGGCCGUUGAGGCUUGAUCUCGAAGGUUGAAAUUGGACCACAAGGAGCUUCAUGUGGUAGAUGAUCUUUGGCUUUGGUAGUGGGUGAAUCGGCACGUAUUUUGUUGCGCUUGUUGACUUUCCACAGCUUUGAUCUUGAACUGGGUUGGAGGAUUUUCCUCCAAUUGUUGAUUUUCCACAGCUUAUUCUUGAACUAGGUUUUGAUUCAAGGGUGGUAGACACUUAAUCUUGAAUCGGACUUGUGAUUUCCUCAAGGGCCGUCGAGGCUUGAUCUUGAAUUUGGCUGGAAACUUCUUCAAGGGCCGUUGAGGCUUGAUUCUUGAAGGUUGACUCGAACAUAUGGCAAGCAGGCACGAGGUGAAGGUGACGACCUAUUUCUUUGUUCAAUCUUUCUAAUUCACACAUAAGCAGUUUGGUCAACGGUAUGAUCUUCAAGAUUGAUGAACUCUUCUUCUAGUUGGUGACUUGAUCUUUAAGGAUUUGAUUCAAGGGUGGUGAAUCGGCACGUGCAGCCCACAACGCCUAGUAAGUCGACCCAAGAAUUUGAGGGUCAAAUCGAGUUCUUCAUCUCAGACUCUUUCUGCCGAGUUGACUGUGCAUGCUGCAUUCUUCUCUGCUUGUUUCUUCAGGCAGAUGUGGCAGCUUCUCGAGUUCUUCAGCUCGGACUCCUUCUGCUGAGUUGACUGUGCAGACUGCAUUCUUCUCUGUUUGUUUCUUCAGGCAGAUGUGGCAGCUUCUCGAGUUCUUCAGCUCGGACUCCUUCUGCUGAGUUGACUGUGCAGACCGCAUUCUUCUCUGCUUGUUCCUUCUGCACCUUGUCUCCACAUGCUGCAAGGUAUCAUUUUCACUUGCCUUAUUUGUUCUCCAGGCAGAUGUGGCAGCUUCUUUGAAAGUACAGCAGCAGUGGAAGACGAGUACUCGAGAGCAGUGCUAGGUAGGCAAUCAGGGAAGGGUUCCAAGCAGUCGGUUCCUUACCCGAGUUUGAGUGGAGGUUCCGGCAUAUUGCUUUCUUUAUCCUUGUCUUUGCAGGUAUGAAUAAGGACAAAGGAAAGGACAGGAAGAACGCAUGAUAUGAGAUACUCUUUCUUUCUACCCUAGUGAUAUGAGAUACUUUUUCUUUGGAGUCAUUGGCUUGCAGAGGUACCCCAAGGAAUAAGGAACACUGAAUAACUCGAGAGGUUUCGUUGGGAAAGCAUUUUUGGAGAUGAAGAAAGGCUCUGUAUGUCUGCCUUGCUAUGGAAGGUGAAGGUGGACAGUUAUAGGCGGUCCCUUAAUACCUGUAGAGGUACUAUUCUUUCACUUGUGUCGGCAACUAACGCGUGAUUGAACAGUAAACUUUCACGUGCUUUCUCCUUCACCGAAAAUCUUCGACAAAUUGCCCGUGAUUUGCGCAAAGUUGAGUGUGCAUAUGACAGGUGAUAACGCGGCUGAAAAAGACUGGCGCCUCUUCGAUAUCUGGGAUCGGCGCUUCGACAAAUUACCCGUGAUUUCCGCAAAGCUGAGUUUGCGUGUGACGGGUGCCGACGGGUCUGGAAAAGCAAGAUGCUUCUCCGAUUUCCGAGCUUGCCUCUUAGAUUUUUGAAUGGCCUCUUCGAAUUUUGAGCUUGUCAAGUGCUGAUUUUUUAUAGAGGCAUGCAGUUCGUUUCAAAGCACACUUGAAUUUUCGCUUGUGAAAACUCCCUUCUUGCACUUCUAAGAUCUUGAUUUGUCCGAUCUCUUCUUUCUUUAACACUUUGAAAAUGUCUGGACCCUCCGACCGUCGUUUUGACUUGAACCUUGGUGAAGAGGCAAUCCCGCCUUCUCCAGACAACAUAUGGCGCCCAUCCUUCAUAUCCCCUACUGGUCCUCUUACCGUUGGGGAUUCGGUGGUGAAGAAUGAUAUGACCGCUGCUGUGGUGGCCCGAAACCUUGUCACUCCCAGAGAUAACAGACUACUUUCCAAAUGGUCUGAUGAGUUGGCUGUUAAGGAUUCUCUGGCUCUCAGUGUGCAGUGUGCAGGUUCUGUGUCUAAUAUGGCCCAACGCCUAUUUGCUCGAACCCGUCAAGUUGAAUCAUUGGCGGCGGAAGUGACGAGUCUUAAACAGGAGAUUAGAGGGCUCAAGCAGGAGAAUAAACAGUUGCAUAAGCUCGCACAUAGCUAUGCGACAAACAUGAAGAGGAAGAUUGACCAGAUGCAGGAAUCUGAUGGUCAGAUUUUACUUGAUUAUCAGAGAUUUGUGGGUUUGUUCCAGCAGCAUUUGCCUUCGUCUUCUGGGGCUGUACCGCGUAAUGAAGCUCCAGAUGAUCAACCUCCGGCUCCUCUUCUUCCUGGAGUUUCGCCGAGUGAUAAGGCGCCACCUGAUCAUCCUUGAAGAUCCCCUCCUGUAAAUUUGAUUUGACUUUUUUUUUUUUUUUUACUGAUGUAAAAUGUACAUUUUUUGUAAAUUUUCAAAGAAAUCAAUAGAUGAGCCUUAUUUCAUUUUUUAUGUGUGUGUAUAUAUAUAUAAAUUGUUUUUUUCUUUAAUCAUGGUGCACCCAUUUUCUUCACAUGGUGCCAGACGCACCAAAGAUCAAAAACUUAUUAUUAUUAUUAUUUUUUUUUAAUUUUAUUUUAUUAUUAUUAUUUUUUUUUAUUAUAUAUAUAUAUAUAUAUAUAUAUAUAUAUUUUGCCUUUAAUUAUGGUGCCAGAUGCACCCUUCCCCCUUUUUUUCAUAUGGUGCCCGACGCACCAUGCAUUUUUAUUAUUUUAUUUUAUUUUAUUUUUUUCUUUUAUCAUGGUGCAGUGUUCCACCAUAUAUAUUUUUUUAUUAUUUUUUGUUUGUAUAAAUUUGGAUGACGGGAUGGGGAAUUUGCAGGGAGCGGAGCAAGGAGGCCGAGAAGAUGGUUGUUUGGCAGAAAAUGCGAGGCAAGAGACGGAGGAUGAGGGGCUGUACAUGCCGCUGAAGCUGAUGGGCAGAAAGAGAAAGUGAGCACAGCCACCGAGCACAGCUACGGAGCACAACCACCGAGCACAGCCAACGGACCCCACCUCGUUAAUUCCCAGGGCUCCCCUAAAGACAAACUUGCUCCACGCCGCCGUCCUCGUCUUUCCUCUCUGCCCAAAGAGAGCGCCAUCAACCUCCAAUCGUCGCAACCACCAUUCUCGAGCUUUUCGACUCCAGCUGGCCUCUCCACCUUCACCGCCGCAUCGGCGUCAGUGACAGCGGCAUCACCUUUCCCGUCUAUCUCAGACCUUCAUCUUCACCCAACCGACCAAGUUAGUGUCCCCAAAAUUUUUUCUUGUCUGUUGGGGUAGAAGACGUAGAUGAGGAAGUUGACUUUGAAGGCCUGUGUUUCGGACUCUUGGAACUAACUGGUGAUUUUAAGAGUACGCCUGCCUCUGCGUCCGAUGGGCAUGCAGAGUUAUACAAGUUGAUGGGAGAUUCGCUGCCCGCUAUUUGCUUUGUUCUCUGUGUUAUGUUCCUUAGAAAUGGGAUGAGCGAAAAAGGCCCAUCGAGUAUGUAAGUAGAUGCAACAAACACCCCCCCAGGUCGCAGGACUCGACUAAUUUCAGCAACAGCUGUUGAUGGUGAAGGCCAACAAUGUAUGGCAGCACCAGCAUGCACUGCAUCCACAGAACCAGUAGCAAACGGAAGCCGAGAAAUAUCAGCUCUGACCAGGAUCAUGUUCUCUUUGGGGAAGUUCUCCUCCUGCUGAAUGAAUCCAUAACACUCCUUCAACAUGUUCUCCGAGUAGUCCAAAGCAACAACAAGAGAAAACAAUCCACUCUUAGCGAAAAGUCUAGAAAACAUCCCACUCCCACAACUUGCAUCAAUGAUAUUUCCACCACCCAAGACUGGCUUUAAGAAAUCCUUAAUCAACUCAAACUCUUUCUCUGGGCCAGGAAAUCCACCCCAUACAGUAAAGCUUUGACGCCAGCCCCUCUCAUAGAGGUACGAUACCAAUGGAGUCCUAAAUAUUUCUGUGGUAACGGGCAUUGAUUCACCAUAGUCCUUGGUGCCGCUUGCUGUUGUCAGGUCAAUAUGUGUUUCGUUGCCAAAGUAUGUCUUCUUACAAGUGCCACAUUGAAAACUAGACCCAGAAGCAGACUCAACAGAUAAGCCCGGAUCACCGGAACUUGAAAAUGGAUCGUAGCAUAUCGGACAAGCUAAAAUGUUGUUGCUGCUGAUGCCACCAUUUUGCACCACAAUUGGUUCGGUUGGCUCGACUUCGACGACGGCACCCGAAGCAGCAGCUCGAACUUUGAUUGCCGCCGCGAAACAGCACUUGAAAACCCGUGAAGCAGCAGAAGUCCUGAGCUUGAGAAGACAAGGCCUUGAAUUACCGAGUUGACUCAGAAGAAACGGGGAGCAAAGGUUGCCGACCACCGUCUCCAUGAUCGCUCUAUUUUGGUGUGUGGUUCAGGCGGCUGUUGCCGGAGUUGGAUUUCAGGAGAAGGAGGAGGAGGAGCGUUUGCAGAUGGCGGAGGGAGGCCUUCAAACAGGUCGUCAGCCAUGUCCCUCUCCCUCUCGAUCGAACUGGCUCGGAGUUGAGAUUAACGCUCUGGAGGAAAUCGGGGAGCUGGAACAGCGGGCUCGGACGCAGGAGAUGUAGCGGGUGCUGCGGGAGAGGGUGAUUUUGCCGCCGCCGUUGGGGCCGACGAUAAAGCUUUGCAAGGACCAUCACACCGCGCGCCACGAAGCACGAUUGCUGCCCCGUCGAUUUGAUCUCCGAACCCUAACCCUGGGAUAGAGACAGUAGACUUGCGGUUAGUGCAUUUGAAAGCUGGGCCUAGGACUGGAUUUGGGUCUCUGCUUUUCUGGAACUUUGAGGAUUGAAGUGGUGGAAUGGAGGCCAUCGCCAAAGCCCAAUGUACAAGAGUUUAUGUCUCGGGCCUUGAGGUCCACCUGCUAGUCUUGAUUUUUUUUAUUUUUUUUAUUUUUAAACAAAAUAAAUUUGCAAUGAAAUUGACCCUCAUCAAUGAAACUUUAAUCAAACCUCUUUUUUUUUUUUUUUUUGAAGAAGAAGAACAUAUAUAUAUAUAUAUAUACACACACACACACCUUAUUUAUCUAUUAUUAUUAUUAUUUUUUGAAAUUACAAAGAACUAUUUAUUGUUACCUUUGUAAUAAAAUUGACUUUUUUUAAUAAAACAUUUAUUUAUAUUUUGAUGUGACUGAACUCGAAAUUUUGAAUAUUCAAGCUGCCUACGUACCCCUCCAAAGAAGAGAUCAAGUCGUAACGUAGUUCAAAUACAUAUUUUUUUUGGAUUUUCUUUUUUUUUGUGCCAUUUGCAGUUUCAGCUCAUGCAGGCAAGAAGCGAUUUCGUGUUGCCUUUUAUGCUCGUGCAGACCAGGAGCGUUGAUGUUGCCUUUUAUGCUCGUGCAGACCAGGAGCGUUGUGCCAUGCAGUUUAGGCUCGUGCAGGCGAGGAGCCUUGUGUCUUGCAGUUUAGGCUCUUACAGACAAGGAGCUUUGGUUCGUGCAGUUUAGGCUCGUGCGAACAAGGAGCAUGGUUCGUCAAGCGAUCUGAGAGAGUCGUUCCUCGCAAUCUUCGUAGCAAGGAGCCUUGACUGAGUAGUUGAAGAAGUCUUCUGGGAAGAUGUCACGCAUCGUGAUGGGGAUAGAUGAUCUUCGUGUCAAAGUUUCAUUAUCUCCAACACUUUCACAUUGUUCUAGAGGUGAACAUGAACUGUUUUUCCCCCUUUCCCAUUGGUGAGCUUGUGGAGAAGACAUAUGCUUCUUGUGCAAUUUCUUCAGAGUGACAUAAGUUCAUCCUUCAACUUCACUCGGCUUGACUGGCAUGUUUUUGGAGCAUGCCCCCAGUGAUUGAGGUGAAAAUUUUGAGUUGACAGAGCCGGAAGUGACGUCUUUUUCCAGGAUUUCGUCUUCUUUGUCUUCUUGGGCCUUCUCUUCAGUGUGGCCUUCUUGGGUUUGUUGCCGUGAAGAUUGGCCGGUGUAGAUGAUGGUGCGCCUCCUUACCUUCAGUGGUCCUUUUGUGUCGACUUCCAAAGUUGCUUGGCGCUUCAUCCUUGAAGGAAUCAAGCUUUGAACAUCGUCUUUUCCUGCUAGACUGUCGAGCUUCUCUCCCUUUGGCGUUGUCUUCCUGUUUCUAGAAGGCUUCUUAGUUUCUUCAAGUCUGUCCAAAGCCGACCGUUGCGGAGGAGAUCUAGCUGUGCCGCUUUGUUUCUUGGGUUUUGAUAACCUUUCAAAGACUGAUCUUUGCGGUGUUGGCGUCUCAAGCCUUUUGAAGACGGAAUUUUGGUCUCGACCACUGAUGCGAUCAAGUGCUGCAAUUCUAGGUUUUGAAUAAUUCAGCCUUUCGAAGACUAAAGUUCUAGGGGCGGGUUUAGGCUCCUCUUUUGGCCUUGUGGCUUGUGGUCUUGGCUUCCUCAUUUUUUUUGUAGGUCACCGAUGUCCACCCUUUCUUAUCACCAGUAGAUGCAUCUUGGUUGCUUGCCCCCGGUGAUGGUUGUGUAGGAGGUGCCAUGUGACUUGAACAUUGACGAGAAUGGUCAUGCAUGCUUCGGAGAUGCACAGGAUCGAGUGAUUCAAACACGAUAGUAGUAGUGUGUGCCGCAACCGUGUCUUUGAGGUCAAGCUCGAUCUCCCCUUGCUGUGCUAGCUUCAGGAUGAGAUCUUUCAGUACGAAGCACUUUUCUGUUGGAUGACUGAUGAAGCGGUGGAAUUUACAGUACCUUGGACUGUCAGUGCGAUUCAUCUCUUCUGGCCGUUUGCACUCAGGCAAACCGAUCACCUUCUUUUCCAGCAAGUCUUCUAACAUAGCAACCACAUCAAAGUCGGGGAAUGGAUAAGUCCUCUCCUCAAGCUCCUUCAAAGUGCGUCUACGCAUCUCUUGAUCACGAAAAGCUUCGGUUUGAAUCGCCUUGCCUCGUGUAGGGAUUUUGACGGGAGCUGUGUUGACCGUCAUUGCUUCCUUGGUGGGUUUCCAUGCAGUCUUCUCCAACUUUGGCCCAAGAACUUUGUCGUUCUUGUAGUUGGCGAUCGGUUCUUUCUUCCCAUGAUGGGCGAUGCUCAACUCCAUGUCAUGGGUGCGAGUGGCCAAUUCCUCGAAAGUCCGUGGUUUAAUGCCUUGAAGGAUGUAUUGCAAACCCCAUUGCAUACCUUGGAUGCACAUCUCGAUUGAAGAGGUUUCCGAGAGCCUGUAUUUACAGUCGAGGCUUAGAGUGCGCCAUCUGUUGAUGUAGUCAAUGAUUGGCUCGUCCUUCCACUGCUUUGUGCUCGUUAGCUCUAGCAUGCUCACAGUGCGGCGGGUGCUGUAGAAGCGGUUGAGGAAUUCCCGCUCUAAUUGCUCCCAGCUGUUGAUGGACUCAGGCUCUAGGUCUAUGUACCACUCAUAGGCGUUUCAUUUCAGCGAGCGCACAAACUGCUUGGCGAGGUAAUCCCUUUCGGUUCCUGCGUUGUUGCAAGUUUCAACGAAGUGGGCAACGUGCUGUUUCGGGUUUCCCUUUCCAUCAAAUUGCAUGAACUUUGGUGGUUGAUAACCCCUCGGCAUCCUUAAGGCGUCGAUCUUAUUUGAAUACGGCUUUGAGUACAACCCGGAGGUAUAUGAGCUCCCUUCGUACUGUGCCUUGAUGGUGUUGGUGAUCAUCUCUUGCAGCUGCUGGAUAGAAAGAGAUCCCAUGAGUGCCGCUGCUUGGUCUGGCUUCGGCUUCACAUCGUUUUUCUCCACCUGAGGCUCAUCUUUUUCGUCAUCUCUUCUCUUUAGUGGAUCAUUCUUUGGGUCGGGGUUCUCGUCGUCCUGUGGCUCCAGUCGGCUGAUGAGUGCAGCGAUUUGCAAGUCUUUUUCUUCAACAAUCCGUGUUAGCCUUGUGAUCGCUUCAUUCAUUUGAGCCAGUUGUUCUUCAACGGAGGUAACGCCGAUAGUCAUGACUUGUGCGACCAAUAGACGUGACUUUCCUUUAGACAUCCAGGAUGCUGAUGAAGAACGUCGUUGGCUGCUUUGGGAUGUCAUCUUGUGUGCCCCAACAUCAUGCUUCGGUGCCCCCAGCGAGGUCAGGUUGAUGACAUACUCACACCUUGGAUGCUCCCCUUGCUCUUUUAGCGGUACCAAUUUUGAAGUGGCAUGUUGAGGAGCGGUUGUGGCGCCAAUGGAUUGUCCGUUUGCGGCAGAAGUGCUUAGGAUCCUUCCCUCCGUGGUUGCAAGAACGGCUUGUCCCUUGCUUGAUGCCAUUGACUUUGAGGUGUGCUUGGAUUCCUUGAACGGAGAAAGAGAUAAGAGGUAGAGAUUGUCCCACUGGGCGUGCCAAUUUGUGAACACGGAAAAUUCCUGGAACGAAAGAGACAAGAACAACGUGCACAAACAAAUAUUUGUAUUUGAUGAUUUUGGGUUACAAUCUCUCUCUAACUUGAUCCUCUGAUUCGAUCUCCGUAAGGUGUUGAUUUGUGGGUGUUUCGUUGAUCCAAGGGCCGUCAAGGCUUGAUCUUGGAUGAACAGUUGGAAGUUUCUUCAAAUGGCCGUGGGCUUGAUCUUUGAAGGUGGAUUUGAGCGGAUCUUCAAGGAGCCGUUGGAGCUUGAUCUUGAGGAUGAAUGUUUCUUCAAGGGCCGUUUGAGGCUUGAUCUUGAAUAACGGUGAUGAGCGGAUCUUCAAGGGCUUUUGGGCUUGAUCUUGAAGAAUGGUUGGAUGUGUGGAUUUGUCGACGUUUGUUGAUCCAAAGGGCCGUUGGGGCUUGAUCUUUUGUUGAUCCAAAGGGCCGUUGGGGCUUGAUCUUGGAUGAACGGAUGAUGAAUGAUGGUGCUUUCUUCAAGGGCCGUCGGGGCUUGAUCUUGAAAGAGCGAUGAACGAAGAACGAAGAACGAAGAACGAAUAACACUUUCUUCAAGGGCCGUCGGGGCUUGAUCUUGAAUUGGUGGAUGAUUGUUGAUCCAAAGGGCCGUUGGGGCUUGAUCUUGGAAGAACGAUGAACGAAGAACGAAGAACACUUUCUUGAUUCUUCGGGUACCUAGAUGCUUAAGAGCUUCGGAGUUUCAGAGCUUCAAAGCUUCAAGGUGUAAUAUGAAUUGGUUGAUCAAAUGAAUGAAAUGGGCUUGUAUUUAUAGAAUUUUCCAAGGCCUAAUUUUGAAUAUAAUAUCUCAGAUGAAAUAAGUCGUUUCUGUCAGGUGUUGACACGUUUCCUAUUUGAUGACUUUUCCAACUCAUUUCAAUUUUCGUUGAGUCACACGCUACGUGUAAAAUUUAUGUAAUACAUGAGCGUUGACACUUUGAUUUAUCGGUCAACAUUUAUUUACCGAAAUUUCGAUGUCUACAGUUUUUUUUUGAUUUUUUACGUAUGCGAUCUCGAAGUGUGUACAAACAAGUUUGACGGUUAGAUCGUUGAAAAACGCUUUGUAGAAUGCGUAUUGCAUCAAAACGGUAGAUUAAACAAACACUUAGAGUUAAUGUUAUACUUCCAUUAAGUAUAAAAUAAGAUUUCCAGUAGUGUAAAUAUUUUAAAUUGAAGAUCGAAUUCGUUCAAUGCAUUCUUAUAGGGUCGAUGAGUGUUGCUGUAAAAAAUCAUCAAAAUCGGAGCUAAAGUAACCGUUAAUUUGUGAUUUUUCGUUUAUAACCGUUGAAAUCUUUUCUUUUGUUACCUAAUCUCUUAAUGUUUGUUUUUUGUGAUUUUUUACGUAUGCGAUCUCGAAGUGUGUACAAACAAGUUUGACGGUUGGAUCGUUGAAAAACGCUUCGUAGAAUGCGUAUCCCAUCAAAACGGUAGAUUAAAUAAACACUUAGAGUUAAUGUUAUACUUCCAUUAAGUAUAAGUGUAAAUAUUUUAAAUCGAAUAUCAAAUUUAUUCAUUAGACAAUAUUUAUUUAUGUUUUUCAAGUAUUGAUUAGACAAUAUUUAGUUUGUGUGAUGACAUUUUAUCGCAUAUUUUACAUGCAUUAUUCUCUAUUAAACCAAAAGUGUAAAAAUUAUCUAUUAAACCAAACAAUUAUUUAUUUAAUUUUUAAAAACAUAUUCUAUUUAAAUACAUAUUAUUUAUUUAUUUAUUAAACCAAACAAUUAUUAUUUUAUUUUUUUAAAUUGUAACAAAAUUUGGGGGGAAAUUAAAAUUUUGAGGGAAAAUUUUAAAAUUUUCGGAAGGAAGUUUGCCGCCAUUUUUUUGUCUGUCGGUUAUAACCGACAGUAAUGGAAUUUUUCUGUCAGUUUUUAUUUUUAAAAAAUGUUUCUGUCGGUUUUAACCGACAGUAAAUAAAAUAACCUAAAUUUUUAAAACCCAUCCAUCUUCCUUGCGCCGAUGCUUCCUGCUUCCCCCUUUCCCUUAUUCUCCUGUCCUCAUUUCCUUCUCCUUCUCCUCUCUUCUUUUCUAUUCUGUUCGAACACUUGCAACCUAUUCCAACCAACAAUUCCACACACACUGUAGAGGGCGUGGACAGAGGGUUGAUGGGAAGGGUUGGGCGUGGACGGAGGGUUAAUGGGAAGGGUAGGAGCUAGAGAGAGGGGGGGUGAGGGGUGGGUUCUGUCCACUGACGUUGGUUGCGGGGAGAGAGAGAGAGAGAGAGAGAGAGAGAGAGAGAUGGGGAAAAGUAUGGGGUUAGGGUUGAGGGGAACGGAACGGGUACAGAGAGAGAGUGAGGAAGGGACAUAGGAGUUAGAGGUAUGGGUUCUGCUGCAUCCUUCCUAUUCGAAAGGUACAUGAAUGGCUUCUCAUCUGAAAUUAUUAAACAUUGGAUUUGCUAUUUUGGUUGCGCAGCUAUGCAGGUGCUCUCUCCAAUCCAUCGAUCAGUUUAGUGCUAGCUGUUAUUGCUGCCUUGGAAAUCAACAAUAUUCCUUCAGCUCCUUGGUUCCUGUCAUUGUGUUUGCAUAUUUUAUAUCCUUUGGUUUCUCAGGUUAUGUACUUAGGUUUGGCGUUGCUUGCUUAUUGUUUUCGUGUUUAUAUUGUAUCAACGACUCUUAGCUUGUUUUGGCUUCUUGCAGGCUUACGGGAUUCUGGAAAUCUGUGUUAUUUUGUUCCUCUCCUCGAACUGAAGAGAUGUUGUUCAUGUUAGCAUGGAUGUUUGUCUAGUCUCCUCACAUAAUGAAAUGAUGUGCUUGACAUGAAUAAGGGUACUUGAUACAACCAUUUUUUCCGAUUUUGUUUGGCCAAGAAUGUAUCUGUAUAAAAUCCAAAUGCAACCGCAGUUGGGUGAUGGAUUACAUUAUCGCUCGUUUCUUUAACUUCUAAGAUUUCUACCUGCGAUAAUUUUGCGAUAUCUUGUCUGUCAUUGUGAUUUUCUUUCCCUGAUUGCAACCAUACGAAGACUUAGGUUGAGGAUUUAGAACGAAUAUUAGCAAGCUUCUCUUAUCUAUAUUGUUAAUUUGUUAUAGCCUAGAAAGGAUGAUCAUGACCCUCCCUGACAGUCACCGGUGAGAUCGAGCUCCGGCGAGGUUGGAUGGUGAAUGCGGGGAUAUGGAAAAUGCAGAAAGUGAUUUUAUUUUUUUUAUUAUUAAUAUAAGUCCUGUCGGUUUUAUCCGACAGUAAAUGAUUUUAUUUAUUAUUUUUAAUUAAUUUUUGUCGGUUUUAGCCGACAGUAAAUGGUUUUAUUUAUUCAUUUUUAAUUAAUUUCUGUCGGAUGGUUUAAUGAUUUUCUGUCGGUUUUAUCCGACAGAAAUAUUUCUGUCGGUUAUAUCCGACACAAUUUCUGUCGGUUUUAGAGUAGUUUCUGUCGGAAAAUUAAUUUCCUGACGCAAACAAUUCUGUCGCUUAUUAUAUCCGCCACUGCAUCCAUUUUCUGUCGGAUUUUGCUUAAAAUCCGACAAUAAUAUAUGUUUUUUGUCGGUUUUCAAAACGCCACUAAUAACUGGUUUUCUAGUAGUGUGAGUGGCGUCCAUUGCCAUGAAUAUCAUCGAGGGGUUAGUUGAAGUGGUGAUGGGAAGGUGGAGGUUGAUGGGGAUGGUGAAAUGGUAGAUACAACAAGCUUGCCAGUGAAAAAGAAAUUUGUUAAUGAGACAGAAAGUACAAGGUUAACACUAACGGAAAAGAUUCGGGCAAGAAAAAAGCGAGAGGGAUAGGAGAGAAUGGCAAGGGAGAAAGCCUUCGAUGAGAGGUUGAUUAGGCUGGGAGGAACGGUGGCGCUGGGGGUUGAAAUGUGGUGCUACUUAGUUUAGAGGAGGUGGAGAAAGGAAUUACAAAAGUGUUGGUGCCCGAGAAAUUUGGUGUGGUGAUUGACCUAAAUCUCAUGCCGAUGGAAGAUGAUCUAAUAACUGGUGAUAAGAGGGCUAUUCAUGUUCCUAUGGAAAAGUUGAAUAGAGUGAGGGAGGAGCUACCUGAGGCUCAGGAGUUGGUUUCGAUGUUUGGAACCCAAGAUUCUGAUCUUUUUAAUUUGGGACCAAUUAUUGAGGCCAUCUCUCAGGAGAGAAAGGCAAAUAAGCAGGUAUUAAUAGAGGUAGAAGGGUUCGAAGAUGUAAUGGCAACGAAGUCCAGGAGCAUUAGACGUCGAUCGUCCAAUGAUAUUACUGAGGCGGAGGAGACCAGCCUUGAGGGGUCUCCCAAGUCCCCAUGAAUCUAAUAGCAUGGAACUGUCAGGGUAUUGGGGGUGACCUGAUAGUUAACAAAUUGUUGGAGCAAAAUAGGCUCCAUAACCCCUACAUAGUGAUCUUGCUAGAAACAAAGAAUAAAAGUAGGCAUUAUGGGAGUUUAUGCAUGUCAUGCCCCAACCCAAGGAUUAACGUAAACCUUGGUUUAGAACGUGAAUCACACCUUAAUUAUAAGCUUAACUAAUAUAAUUAAGAAUGUGACAUGAAAUAAAAGCAUGUAUAACUCGCUUGGAAUAAAAUUAACUGAAUAACAGAUUCAUUAUUGAAAGUUUCAGCCAAAUUUACAACUUAUGAACUACUGAAAGUUCACACAAAGUAGUUCUUUAUUCAAACAAGAGAGCAAAAGCCAACAAGCUCAUCUUUUUAUUUCUCCUACAUAAUUACACAACAGACAGCAAGUAGACUUUUAGGUUUCUGGUUCUGUACCUGCAAAAUUUCAUUAGGGUGAGCUUAAAAAGCUCAGUAGGGGCAUAUACCUGAUGCGUAAAAUAAGUUAACACACAAAAUUAAACCCUCUUUUUAUCAAAUGUAGUAAAGUAUGUAAGUAGGGAUCGUUCUAGGCCGGGGAUUAGGAGGGAUUGCUAAACCCUUGAAAACUGACUUAAAAACAUAAAAACAAAAUUUAAAACACUAAACUAGACUCAAAGAAUGCAAAACUAUACUUUAAAAUACUUAAACAAACAUAAAACUCAAAACAGCAACCUAAUGACUCAAAACUGCCUAAAAACCACUUUCUGGGCAGUUUUGAGAACCUAACAAGAACUUGGACAAAGUUGGAUGAAAACUUGAAUCAAAACACUUAGAAACACAAAUCAAAACACUUUCUAACUAAUCUAAGACUUCAAAAUAAAGGGGGAUUUGUUUUGGACGAAAAUUGAAAACAAAACAGAAACUUUAAAACAAAACAGAUUGUAAAACGUUUUUGGAUGAAAAUGAUGGAUAAAAGGCUAGUUAGGAGGUUCUUCUCCACACAUGACACACUUGCAAACAAAAUGAUUUUCAGUUGUUCUUUCAAUAAAUUAUGAAACUCAACACCCCAAGUUAAUUAGAUACGCUUAAAUUAACCUUCAAGUUCUCCUUAAGUUAAUGAAUUGGAUGGAAAAGCGCAUACAACAAUUCAAAGCAUUCCUCAAAGGUUCCUUACGUGAUGAGCACAAUAAAGAUACAAUCAAGAAUCAUGAAGCACAAUGAGAACUAUAAGUGUUGACGAGGCAUUCGUUACUAUGAUGAGCAUGAAACUAGUGCCAAGAAUUCAUUCAACGCGAUCGUUUUCAAGCGACCUUCACUACUUGUGAUUAUAAGAUUGUAACUAUUAGGUGAAACUCCCUCAUAAUCUAGCAUCAUAUUCAUGCAUGAAAACUAAGCGUGCACUCUCAAUCAACAUACACAAAUAAGUUAUCAAUCAAGUAGAUGAACGAAUUGAAUCCGCAACUUAUGAAAUAACAACUGAAUGUAAUCAAAUCAUAUUGCAAGCAUGUACAUGGUUUCGAAUCACCCCCCAACUAAGGGGGUUUAGUUCCUCAUUCUUGCAAUACAAAGAUACAUAAAAUUAGACAUCAAAAUCAAAGGAAAGAAAAACACCUAAAAUGCUCCAACUUGGAAAGCAAGUGCAUCAAUGGAUCUCCCUUCCUCCUUGUUGCGGCAUGAAGCUUGUGGACAGAUUUUUGGGUGGAUUUAUGGUGUAGAAUGGAUGGGGAAUGAUAUGGAGGGGUUUAGGGUGAGUGUGGAAGAGUGUUUGAUGGUUGGAAGGUGGUGGAGAACUAGGCAAAGAGGGUGGAAGAAGGUGGAGUGGCUGUUAUGUUUUCUAGGCACUAGAAUGGUGUUUUUUGGGGUGUUUUUGCUUCCUAGGGUGUGUAUGGACGAAUUUCUGUGAUAAAAUGAUGAAUAUGGGGGAUUGUUCUUUGGCCAAGGGGUGUAAACAUGUAUUUAUAGGCCCCAAAAACCUUAGAAAAUCAGGUUAGGUUAAGGAUGAAAUGCAUGGCAAUUUGUGUGUGUGGUGUGCAAUGGUCCAAGGGUGAAAAUGAAGUGAUGAUGCAAAGUGUGAAGGGUAAAAUGGAGUGGUCUUGUAGCUAGGGGGCAUGAAUGAUUGUGUACAUUGCAUAGAGAUGGAAAGGGAGGUGAAAAUGUGUCAAUAAAUGGGUCAAAGGUGCAGCAACAUGUGGUACACAAGGCAUGGGAUUCCAAAUGUGAAUGAUGGAGCAUCAAUUGGUGCAUGUAAUGGAUGUAAAUGUUGUCUAAAAUCUAAUGAGUGAAGGGAACAAGAGGUAUCAAGCAAUUGAGUGUAAUAAUUAAAUGAAUUGAAGCAUGAAAUUAGAAAUUAUGUAGGGGACAAGAGUGAUCAAGCAUGGCAUGGAAUCCAAAGGGAAUUCUAUGUGGUUUGCAUGGCAAGGAAUGCAAGUUGGGGUGACAGAUUUUUGGGCUGUUUUCUUCAUCUUUUGGACCAUAAUUCUUCAUAUUCUUGGCCUCUUUAGUUCUCAAAUUCGUCCAUCCACUUGGCCCAUGCAUUUGCUAUCCAUUCCAAGCCCGAAACAUGCUCCAAAGGCCUCCAAAAUGCAUCUUCUUGCAUACUUUGUACUUAGAGUCUGAAAACACACGAAAAUUACUUUAAACAUUAAAAUAACUAAGGAAACACGACAUAAAUGCACAAGAACAAGCCAACUAAGUCGCAUAAAUAUGCUCCUAUCAAUACCUUCAUUUCUAAAAUAAUAAAGUAUAAUUAUGAUAGCAGAAUUAAAACCAAAAUCAGAAUGGUGCAUAAGUAUGCAAUGCAAAUGCCUUAAUUAUACCCGUUAAUCCACAUAACUAAACACCCAGACCUUGUACGUCCCAUUCCGUACUUAUACCAUUUGAUCCCGAGUGUUUAAAUAUAUGAACUAACCCCCAUCCCUAAACAUCCCCGAACUCCCCUUUUUGUUAGUCAUCUUGCCUAAACUCUUCGUCUCCAGUCCCGAAUUACCCUUAAAGAAUCUGUGCACUGUGGGCUCGCCUGAGACCUGGUACCUACUAAGAGUUUGGCUCAACUACACAAAACUAAUAGUCACCACCUUAGAUUCCCGAAGUUCUUUCCAACAAUCCCACUUUACUCCCACAUCAUGGACCCAAAUUUCAUUUCGAACAUUCAUUAUACUCAAAUAUCCAAUAGAAACAUGUAUAUCAAACUUGUAUAUAUACUUAAGUAAGAAAUAUUUAAAUUCAUAUAUAUAUAUAUAUAUAUAUAUAUAUAGAAGGUUUCCCAGAACCCCCUACCUUGAAUUCGAUUAAUUUUGCUUCUCUGAAGAACCCUUCAAAUCUCUGAAUCCUUCCUUCACAAUCACGUUCUCUAACUCUCAAUUUCUCUACCCCUUUUUGAUUUCUGAUGCUUUCCCACUUCUCUGCAACCCCUUUUAUAGUUUCUCUAAUCCUACUAACUCCUAUCAGAGUCCUGAUAAAAACCUAGCUUCCUAGGUCGUCCACCUCCUGCUUAUAGACCUCUGUGUCUCUUCUCCGUUCACCCUCCGCUGAACACACUCCUUGGUGAAAUAGGAGAUGAACAACUAUCUAUGACACACUCCUUUGAUCAAUCAAAGGUCGACCUAUCACAAGGUGUCCUAAUCUCUAUCUGAUUUUUGGAUAUGAAGAAAGAAGAUUUUUUUUUUCCUAAAGGUAUGGAAGGCCACCUCCUCCCUACUUCCUUGUUUCCAUCGUACAGAAAGGAAAGGUAUGAAAGGAUGGUCCUUUCCUUUCUUUUGUAGAAUAUUAUUUUAUUAUUAUUAUCAUUAUUAUUAUUUUUUUUUUAAACAAUAAUAGGAAAUCUAAUAAAUAAAAAGUAUAUUAUUAAAAGCUAUUAAACAAAAUAAACACUAAGUAGACUAAAAUUUUGUAUAAAAACAAUUAUAAUCACACUUCACUCUUAAUUUAAACGAGGGAUAUUACAAUGCAUGCAGUGGAACCUAGAGGGAUUGGUGGUGGUUUGUGCUUGUUUUGGAAAGAUGAUUCACAAGUGCUUUUGGUGAAAUACGCGGACUUUGUGAUUGACGUUAAAAUAUGUGAUUGACGUUAAAAUAUGAAAUGAUAGUAAACAAUGUUAUUGGUGUUUAUUUGCUAUUUAUGCUAGUACUAAUGAGAAAAAACGGCGGGACCAAUGGAUGAUGCUAAGUAAACAGACAGAGAAUGAAAGUGAUAGGUACCUCCUGAGAGAGGAUUUUAAUGACAUACUGAGCAACAAAGAAAAAUAAGGUGGGAACUACAUAACAGCGGCUAGUAUAAGGGACUUUAAAGAGUUUGUGGCACAGAACGAACUUAUAGACCUGGGCUACGAAGGUUAUCCGUUUACUUGGAGGAAUAAUAGAGAGUCUAAGCCAAUUGAACAAAGGCUCGAUCGUGGGUUGGCGAGCAUCGGGUGGCAUGAUCUUUAUCUGGGUACUAAAAUCCUGCAUGUGGUGUUAGAAGGAUCCGAUCACGCAAUGCUUGUUCUUUCCACGGAGAAGAUGAGGGCUUGGAGGGAAAGAAGAUUCACGUAUGAUGCAUGAUGGGGAAAGCUAGUUGAAUGUCGUGACUUGGUGGUUGGGGAAUGACGUGACAAUUAUGGUGGUUAACAUGCUUUUCGGUUUUGCGAAAAACUGAAAACUCUUAGGCGGAGUCUUAAGGUUUGGUAUAAAGGGAGAAGCAGGAACUAGAAAGCUAUUGACCAAUUGAAAGGAGAGAUUAGGAUGGCAUAUAAGUCAAAUGGAUUUGCCAUGAAUGAGGUGCACCUAAAGGAGAUGGAGCUUAGGAAAGCGCAUAAGGAAGAAGAGACUUUUUGGCGAGUGACGUCGAGGGUGUUAGCAUAAACACAACACCAUGAUCAUGCAAAGCAAGUUACCGUGAUUAAAACACAGAACCAUAAACCAUAAAGCAAUGCACAGAGAGAAAACAUACCUGCAGAAGAGUUCGAAGCUACUGCCAUGUCUGAUUUCUGCAGCAAAGUCGUGGUGCAUCUUCUCCUCUCUUCAGUGAACGAGACUCUCAACUAGUAAUAGGUCUUACUCUUAUAUUGAGUACACACUGCAAGAGCAGAGGCCACCAUAUAUAUACUAUACAAUCUUAGCCAAAUUCUAUAAGGAUUCCCCUAUUAAAAUCUAUAUAGAAUACUAAUUUAUCCUAAAUAGCAGUCCAGUUACAACAUGGAUUUACAAAUCCAUUCCCAACAAGACUUCCUACUCAAUCUCUAAUCCUACAACCAAGUUUACCAAUUCAUACUCAUGCUCAUAUUCUAACAGAGGAUCCAAAGGUACAAUGAGGGAGACAAUAAUACAAAGUUUUUUCAUGCGCAAACAAUGAAAUGGCAGAGGUUUAACCAGAUCUAGGGGUUGAAGGAUUCGCAUGGGGUGUGGCGUGAGAGUGAAACCAAAAUAUGUUCGAUUGAGGUGUCCUAUUUUUCAUACUUAUUUCAGUCUAGUUGGCCGAUUCAAAUUGAGGAGAUUAUGAGUUGUUUGGAUAAUCGGGUGACACACGAGGACAAUAUGUUUCUGACGGCUCCAGUGACGGAUAGAGAAAUACAGGAGGCGGCAUUUCAAAUUCCUCCUACGAUAGCUCCAAGACUAGAUGGGUUCUCCGGUAGCUUUUAUCAGGACCAUUGGGAGGUGGUGGGGAAGGAUAUGGUGAAUAUUGUCAAGGCUUUCUGGCAUUCCGACAUGGUUUUACAGAAACUAAAUCAUACAGAUUUGGUACUCAUUCCAAAGGUGACAUGUCCGAAGAACAUGACGCGGUAUCGGCCUAGUGCUUUAUGCAACACAAGCUAUAAGGUCCUCGCUAAGUUUCUUACAAAUAGAUUUAAAAGUUUGAUGCCGAAGGUGAUAAGUGACAAUCAAUCGGCUUUUGUGGUUGGGAAGCAUAUUCAGGAUAAUAUCCUAGUUGUGCAUGAGAUCUUGCAUUCCCUUAUGCAUCAAACAAAGGAGGACCAGACGGGUAUGGCAAUAAAAUUGGAUAUGACGAAGGCAUAUGAUCCUGUAGAAUGGGAGUUCCUAUUAGCUAUGAUGGCUAAAUUGGGUUUUGUGCUGAUGUUUUGUAGGUGGGUAAAGGAAUGCACUUCCACUGCUUCCUUUAGUAUUUUAGUGAAUGGAAACCUAAUGGGGUAUAUUUUGCCGAAGAGGGGGCUGAGGCAGGGGGAUCCAUUAUCUCCGUACUUAUUUCUUCUCUGUACCGAAGGGUUCUCUUCUUGACUUCAGAAUGGUAUGGAGAGAUGAGCUCUACAUGGAUUCAGGGUGACACCUAAUGGGGUGCCGAUAUAAUUUUUUUUUUUUGGCGGAUGACUCAAAGUUGUUUUGUAAUGCAACAGUUGAGGAAGCGCAAGGUGUGGUGGAUGUGUUGAAGGUUUAUGCAUCCGGGUCAGGUCAGGAAAUUAAUAUGUUAAAAAGCUCGAUUUUCUUUGGUUCCAAGGCUACGAAACGAAAUAAGAAAAAAAUUGAACGAACUUUGAAUAUUCAAAGAAAUGAAGGCUUUGGGAAGUACUUAGGACUACAAGCAGAUUUUGAUCAUUAAAAAAAAAAGUCUUUAAGGAGGUGCAUGAAAGGAUUGAGACAUGUGUGGCGGGGAUAGGCAGAGCAGCUCCUAUCUCAAGUGGGGAAGGAAAUCCUUAUAAAGGCAGUGGCCAUGGCUAUGCCAAAUCAUGCCAUGGGAUGUUUCAAGUUACCUAUUGGGGUAUGCAGAGACAUAGAGAAAGCUAAUAGGAAUUAUUGGUGUAGGGGAAACGAUUAUUGGAAGGGUGUUCACUGGGUUUCUUGGGAACAGUUAAUGAAGCAAAAGCGAUAUGGUGGUUUGGGUUUUAAAGAUAUUCAAUGCUUUAAUCUUGCCCUUCUGCCAAAGAUCAGGUGGUGACUGAUCCAUAACCUGGAGUUUCUCCUAGCUAGAGUGUUGAGAGACAAAUAUUUUCCAGGAAAGACAUUUAAGGAGGCGAGUGGUGGGAGGAUAACGUCUUGGGGUUGGAAGGGUAUCGUUGAAGCACGUAAGGUGCUAGAUUAUGGUAUUCGGUGGCGGGUUGGUAAUGGAACUUGUAUCAAUAUUAGAGAGGACCCGUGGUUUCCUAAACCCACUACUUUCAAAGUACGGCCUUGGGAGGGCCUGCUGAUAAGAGAUCCAACGGCUAGAAUGGCAUGAUAGAUCAAGUCAGUUUUUCAAUGGUUAGAUAGCUGCCAGCUCAAAUAGAAAGUCAGUUAGUUAGUUAGUGAGAUAGCUUCCUAGCUAAGAUGAGAUCCCGUGUAUAAAGUCUGAAAUACAACACAGUUUGUAAUAAUUCAUUCUCUCUCUAAAGAUCAAUACACAGAAUAUUUUUCAUUCUUUCUCUCUCUCUUUUCGCAUUCAUUCUUCAGUUUGUUGUUCUUCAUAGAACCAUUCCUUAGUUCUGUUAACAUGGUAUCAAUCGCUCAGGACGAUCUGUUUGGUGUUUUCCGCUGAAGCUGCAUACUCUGAGGGCGUUGUUACAACUAAGAUUUCGGGGUUCUUGCUGAUGAAUUCAUUUUCAUUUCUGGGUUGCUGGUAUUCUCGAUCUUUGAUUCAUAUUGGUGCUUGAAAUUUGUUGCAUAUGAUGUGUUUGAUAUAUUGCCUCAGUGAAAUGUACAAGUGAUAUGAAGGCCGAUGCCAAUUGUUUGAAUCUGAUAGUUGUUUGCUUAAGAAAGUUUGAUGUUCGAAGUCUGAUUGUUUGAUAAAGAUUGGAAGGUUGAUACAUUGAAAAGUUGAAAGAUUGUAAUUGUGUCACUUCAUAGAAAGGCCAAAGCCAUUAGUAUACUAUUUUGUUCUUUGAUAAUCAAGUUUCAGAAGUAGUUUUUUGUCUAUUACUCCGUGCGUUACAAUGGCUGCAAAUUUUGUCAAGAUUGAAGGGUUACUUGGACUGAUUACUGUAAAGUUGCAAGAAGAUAAUUUUGUCAAAUGGAGCUAUCAAUUCUCAUCUGUUUUAAAAGGGUUAUGAUUUGUUUGAUUUCUUCAAUGGAGAGUCACAGUGUCCGCCAAAAUAUUGUAUUACAUCUGAAGGUGGGGUUACAAAUGAGAUCUCAAUGGCCUACAAACAGUGGGUUCAAAAAGAUUUGGCUUUGCUCAGUUUACUUGUUGCUACAUUAAGUGAUGAGGUUAUGGAUCAUGUAAUCGGAUGCAAGACUGCUCAAGAAGCAUGGGAAAAUUUGCAGGAAAGAUUUGCUUCUGUUUCUGUUGUGCGAAUAAAUCAGUUGAAAACUGAAUUUCAUACUGCACAGAAAGGGAAUGAUUCUGUUGACAAGUUUCUGUUAAGGCUGAAGGUGAUCAAAGAUCAACUAAUUUCUGCAGGGGAGAGAAUUACUGAGAAUGAUUUAAUGAUUGCUGUUUUGUCAGGUCUACCAUCAGAGUUUGAAGUUAUCAAGACUGUAAUUCUUGCAAGAGAUACUUUCAUUUUCUCUAAAAGAUUUUCGAGCUCAGUUGAUGGGUGUUGAAGCUGCACUUGAAACAAAGAUGAAUACUCUUGCUGGAACAAUGUCAGCAAUGUAUAUGAAUGGUGAAUCGUCAAAUGCAAGAGGACCUCAAGGUAGUUUUCAGAAUUUCGAGCAAGGAGAAAGUUCUAAUUCACAAAGAUAUCAAGGAGGUUUUAAUGGUGGUUCUGGUUUUGCUGGGAAUGGAGGUAGAUCUUUUCAACAGAGAUCUGGUUUUAAUAAUAACAGAAGGUUUAAUGGAAAUAACAACAGCAGCAAUUCAAGAUCUUAUUCCAACUUUGGUAACAAAUCUUAUGGCUCUAAUGGUUUGACUGAUAACAACAAGGGAUCUCAGAAUUACUAUAGUGGUUCAAACAACUUUUCUGGUGAAAAUGGUUUCAAGCAAGGAAGUGGAUGGACUGGUAACACAAACUACAAGUCUGCUGUGUCUCCAGAGUGUCAAAUAUGUUCUAGAAGAGGGCAUACUGCACCAAAUUGUUACUACAGGACUGAUAAUGGUCAAGCUAAUCCUAGAGGGCCAAUCUUUUGUCAAAUCUGUGGCAAGAAAGGUCACACUGCACUCCAAUGCUAUCACAGGAACAACUACUCGUAUCAAGGACCUCCUCCACCUCAAACCUUGAAUCAAUCACCUAUGGGAAUGUCUGCUCAGACUUCAACUACAAUGCAAGAGGCUCAAAGUGUCCAUGGGUUUUCAAAUGCAGAUACAUGGGUGGUGGACACAGGUGCAACUCAUCACAUGACAGCCAAUCUUGAUCACAUCAAUCAUGUCACUCCUUAUAAUGGUGAAGCUAAAAUCACUAUAGGCAAUGGAGCAGGUUUGAGUGUCAAGAAUAUUGGUGCAUCUAAACUCAUUACUGAUACACAUACAUUUUUGUUGAAUAAUGUGUUGCAUGUCCCACUAAUUACAAUGAAUCUGUUAUCAGUUAAGAAGCUAUGUAGAGAUAAUGGAUGCUGGUUUAUUUGUGAUGAUUUGGUAUUUUUUAUACAGGACAAGGCAACUCGGGUGAUUCUGUACCAAGGAAAGAGUGAUGAUGGAGAAUUAUUCAAGAUACCAGUCUCAGUUUUCAGAAGUUCCUUUGCUGCAAAAUUAGAGAAUUGUGCUGCAUUUCUUGGGAAGAAAGUAAGGAUUUCAGUGUGGCAUAGAAGGCUGGGACAUCCAUCUGAGGAAGUGUUGUCUACAAUGUUGAAGCAUGCAGGAAUAUUAAUGAAUAAUGAUUCUUCUCAAUCUCUUUGUUCAGCUUGUAUUUCUGGAAAAAUGUGUCAGUUACCAUUUUCUGUAAAACAAGUUAGAACUACUUCUAUGUUUGAAAAGAUACACUCUGAUGUUUGGGGUCCAUCUCCUCAUAAGUCCAUAGAAGGGUAUAGAUAUUAUGUGAGUUUUAUAGAUGAUUACUCAAGGUUUGUAUGGAUUUUUCCUAUGAUGAAUAAAUCAGAUGUGUUCCAAAUCUUUGUCAAAUUUCAUGCCUUUGUUCAUACUCAGUUUCAUAGUUCAAUCAAAUGCUUACAAACAGAUGGUGGUGGAGAAUAUGUGAAUAGAAUGAUGAAGAGUUUCUUAGAUCAAAAAGGUGUUAUACAUCAGGUGUCAUGUCCUUAUACACCUCAACAGAAUGGCAUUGCUGAGAGGAAACAUAGGCACUUGGUUGAAACAGCCUUAAGCUUAAUGACAGAUGCUUCCAUUCCGGCUAGUUUUUUUGGUAUCAUGCUUGUUCAUAUGCUGCAUUCUUAAUCAACAGAAUGUCAUGUAAAAGUCUUGACAAUAGAUCACCUUAUCAACUGCUUUUUGGUGAAAAUCCUACAAUUCACAAUCUUAAAAUAUUUGGAACUGCAGUAUAUCCAUAUCUAAGACCUUACAAUGCAAAUAAGCUGCAGAAUAGAUCAAGUCAGUUUGUUUUUCUUGGUUUUGCAGUAGGAUAUAAAGGAGUGAUUUGCUAUGAUAUACAUACUGGGAAAUUUAUAAUAUCAAGGCAUGUUAUACAUGAUGAAGAUACAUAUCCUUUCAAACGACAGUCUGUCAACAAGGAUAUUGAUCAUAGUCGUUCUCAACAGUCCACUCAAGGUCAUGUAGUUAUUCAGGUUCCUAUUCCCAGUUCUAGACAUCUUGAUGUACAUGAUGGUGAAUAUAGAAUACAAGAAGAAAACACAGUGUUAUCAGAUUCUCAAAGUACUGAAAGUCAGUCUACAAUUCCAAGUUUGUCUACAUCACACAGAUAUAGUGAUAGUACAGAUCAGUCAAGGGAAUCACAUGACAAUUCACAGCAAAACACAGUACCCAGUUCAACAGUUCCAAAUUCUCCUCAUCAUCACUCUGGUACAUCAUCAAUGUUGCCUGUCCAAUCAGCUUCUCAACUUCAGGUAACUUUACCAAUAUCAUCACAAAUUGAAACAAAUGUUCAUACUGACAAUUCUACUGGUGUGAAUAAUUCUUGUUCGAUGCAUCAAAUGGUUACAAGAUUGAAGAGUGGCACCAUUCAAAGACGGAAUUAUAAUGCUUUUAUAGCAUCAUUUCCUGAGUUACAAACUCUGCAAAUAACUACAGAAGAUCAGUUCGUGGGAGGCUAUAGUUUUUUGUCUACAAUAGCUGAUGUAUCAGAACCAACUACAUUUCGGAAAGCUGCUUCAAUGCCUCAAUGGCAACAAGCGAUGCAAGAUGAGUAUGACUCUCUUAGGAGUCAAGGCACAUGGAUUUUGGUACCUCCUCCCAAUGACAGAUCCAUUGUUGGUAGCAAGUGGGUGUAUAAAGUGAAGAAAAAUUCAAAUGGAAGUGUUUCAAGAUACAAGGCCAGACUGGUGGCUCAAGGAUAUUCUCAAGAGCAAGGUGUGGAUUACUUAGAGACUUUUAGUCCCGUAGUGAGACACACUACUGUGAGGAUAGUAUUAGCCUUAGCUGCAACCAAUAAUUGGAAGCUUAGGCAACUUGACAUCAAAAAUGCUUUUCUGCAUGGUGACUUACAAGAAGACAUUUAUAUGAAGCAACCACAGGGAUUUGUUGAUGCAUCUCAUCCUACAUAUGUGUGUAAACUAAUCAAGUCCCUGUACGGAUUAAAGCAGGCCCCAAGAGCAUGGAAUUCGAAGUUCACUUCCUAUCUGGCAGCAAUGAAUUUUCAGCCUUCUGCUUCUGAUACAAGCCUAUUCACUAAGAAAGAUGGCAAUGAUAUUGUCAUUCUUCUCCUAUAUGUCGAUGAUAUAAUCCUUACAGGCUCAAAUUCUCUUAACGUACAGAAAGUGAUUGAUGAAUUGUCUGAAGUAUUUGAGCUCAAGGACAUGGGACAAUUGACAUAUUUUCUGGGAUUGCAGAUUGCUUACAAGUCAAAUGGGGACAUUUUUGUGAAUCAAGCCAAAUAUAUAAAGGAUUUGAUUCAUAAGGCAGGUAUGGACUCAUGUAAGCCUGCUAAUACUCCCUGUAAACCACAUGAUCAAAUGCUUAUUUCAGAUGGUCUUCUCAUGACCGAUCCCUCUCUUUAUAGAAGUCUUGUUGGUUCAUUACAAUACCUGACCUUCACUAGGCCAGAUAUUGCAUAUGCUGUUAACACAGUAUGUCAAUUCAUGAAUUCCCCUACAGAAAUGCACUAUGGAGCAGUGAAACGCAUACUAAGAUACCUACAAGGGACUUUGACUUAUGGAAUACUAUAUUCUGCUGACACAGUGACAACAUUAACUGCAUUUUCAGAUGCAGAUUGGGCAGCAGAUCUUAACACUCGCCGUUCAAUCACAGGUUAUGUGGUAUAUUUGGGCAAUAAUCCUGUGUCUUGGCAAUCCAAGAAGCAAAGUUCAGUGUCAAGAAGCUCCACGGAAGCAGAAUAUAAGGCCCUUGCUCACACUGCCGCUGAUGUUGCUUGGGUGAGGGGAAUAUUGAAGGAUUUGGAAGUAUUUUUGCCAUUGCCACCUACGAUUUAUUGUGAUAAUUUGUCCACCAUUGCACUCAGUGCAAAUCCAGUGUUUCAUUCUCGAAUUAAACAUCUUGACACGGAUUUUCACUUUAUAAGGGAGAGAGUUCAACAAGGGGAUUUGGAGGUUGUUUACAUCCCAACAGAAGAUCAAACAGCCGAUGUACUUACAAAAGGCCUGCAUAGUCCAACAUUUCUCAAACAUUGUUACAAUCUUAGGCUUGGUGCCCAAGCCACGAUUGAGGGGGAAUGAUAAGAGAUCCAACGGCUAGAAUGGCAUGAUAGAUCAAGUCAGUUUUUCAAUGGUUAGAUAGCUGCCAGCUCAAAUAGAAAGUCAGUUAGUUAGUUAGUGAGAUAGCUUCCUAGCUAAGAUGAGAUCCCGUGUAUAAAGUCUGAAAUACAACACAGUUUGUAAUAAUUCAUUCUCUCUCUAAAGAUCAAUACACAGAAUAUUUUUCAUUCUUUCUCUCUCUCUUUUCGCAUUCAUUCUUCAGUUUGUUGUUCUUCAUAGAACCAUUCCUUAGUUCUGUUAACACCUGCAAGCAACAAUGGCGAGUGAACUGAUUGAUUCGAACUCAAAGACUUGGAAUGCAGACGUGAUCUUGGCGGGCUUUAAUCAGGACGAUGUGGCACCGAUUUUAAGCAUUCCGUUUAAGCAGGAAAUGUUGUAGUGACAGGUUGGUGUGGCACCACACUACGAAUGGGGUGUACACGGUUAAAUCCGGCUAGGGGGUGGCGUUGGGUCUUAUGGAAAAUGGAGCACUGUGGAGGAAAGGGCCGGGAUCGGCGAGAAAACAAAUCACAAUCAGGUGUGGAAUAGGAUAUGGAGUUUGGAGGUCCCUAAUAAAAUGAAAUUUUUUGUAUGGAGGUGUUGCAAAAAUGCUUUGGCGGUUAGACAAAAUCUGCAGAGACGACAUAUGAAGACUGAUAAUGUAUGCGGGGUGUGUAGCCUAUGUGAUGAAACGGAAAACCAUUUGGUUUUCCACUGCGAACUCAGCCACCUAUUUUGGUUAUGUUCGCCGCUUCAACUUAAUUCCUUUGAUUUGGAAUGCGCUGACUUCUUAGAAAGCUAGGAGAAAUUCUGUAACCGUGUUAAGGGAAUGGAAAAUGCAGCUGAGAUCAUGCAAGAAUUUGUCUUCGGGUUAUGGAGACUAUGGAAAAACAGAAAUGAGGUGGUUUUAAAUGGAGUGCACUGAUGGCCUUUAGAGGUUUUGGAGGUAUGGAAGAGGAACAUCUCUGAAUUCAGAGAUGCGAAGGCACAUGGGGUAGCGGGAGUGAGUCCAAAUACGGGGACGACGACCUUGGCAUUGAAACGACAGAACGAACAAUGGCAGAAAUUGGGGUUUGGGACAAUUAAGAUUAAUACCGAUGCGGCUUGGUGCAAGUAUACGUUGCGUGCGAGAGUGGGCUGGGUUGUUCGAGAUUUUGCAGGUUUGCUGCAAGCAGCGGGAGGCUUGGGAGUUAUGCAUUGUCAUAAUGCAGCAGAGGCUGAAGCUACAACAAUCUGUGAAGCUUUGGAGUUUUGCAUUGAGCUGGAGUUGACAACUUGAUUAUUGAAUCCGAUGAAAAGGUGAUUAUUCAAAUGACUGACUCAUGAUUAUAGCCUUGAAUGUAUCCUUGGUGACAUUGAGACUCUAGCGCAAAGUUUGAGGUCGGUAACGUUUGACUUUGUGUCUAGAGAGAGUAACCGUGCUGCUCACUCGGUGGUUAAGUUUGUGUUUAAGGAGGGUCAUUCCUUUGUAUGAGAUUGUAUUGGUCAUGAGUUCUUGUUUAAUAUUAAUUAGUGCAAGAUAUUAACUUUUCUAUUCGAUUAUAAUAAAUUCUAUAUUUUGGAAAGAAAAAAAAAUUGAACUCAUAAUCUUCUCCAAAAAAAAAAGGGAAAUCUAGAGCCGCUAACCCAGAGCUCUUAAAAGAAACCAAACUAGGGAAGAUUGUUUAGAGAAUUGGCUAGAGUUGUUGCUUUUUUAUUUAUGAGUCGAGCGACAAUGUUAGUAAAUUAAAUGUUAGAUUAGCUACCAACGAGGUUUGAAUUUAUGUCAUCAUGUAAGGGCACAACACUUUCCACUACUGUGGUAAAGGGCUAAAAUUUUAAUAAUAGAUAAUUAGGUGAAUGAUUUUCUGAUUACUCUAUGUCAACAAUAACAUAUACACACACACACACACAUACAAAUUCAACAUCCAAUUACGCCUAUUUCUAAGGCUAGGAAUCCGUGAUCCACCUUUGAUCUAGACUAAAACAGGAAAUUAAGGUAAAUCUUGCAAAUAUAUUACAAAGAUAAUUCUCAACACAAAACGAUAAUGAGCAAAGAAAGUGUAAUAAAUAUUGUUGUAGAAAAAUUAAGAGAAGGUGCUGUAUUUAGUAACCCAUACACGAAAAUUUUGGUAGAAAUAAUUCGACCCCAAAAGAAACUUUGAAAUAGGAAUUGAGGAGUAGUGCUACAAAUAGCACAAGAAAGUUUGAAUGUUUGUAGUAUUUGGGUAUGCAAACCUUUACACGACCUUAUCUAUACUCAAAAAGUUGAAUUAUGUAUUAUGUAUUAUAUGGAGAGUAACUUAGUGUCUUGAAGAAUAUAAAUUAUGGUUUAAAAAGUCCUCGUUGUAAAUUUUGAAAAUUUGUUGGAUAUGAUCACAUGUAGUUACAAUUCAAGUGUUGUCUUCUUUUUUUAUUUUUAUUUUUUUGUCAAAGCUUGAGGUAUCUCACAUCCCAAAAGGUAGACUAAUUUUUAGUGGAGCUUGGAAAGGCUAACAGUCCAGCCUAUCCCUGGCCACAAUUAAAUACCACAUUUCCUCCCAAGAUUUUUAAUCAGAUAAUCACUUGUAUUUUUGCCAACUUUGUGCCUACCACAGAGCAUACUGAACUUGAAAUUCUAACGUGUUUCUACUGCACCACUUGCAGUGGUUAUUGUUUAUACUAUCAAGAGGACAGACUUUGUCAUAAUUUUUGUGAAAAUACCAUUUAUGUCCACACAUCUUUUUAUCCUUAGUUGCGAUAAAUAACCUUUAUAUAAUAAGAUUAAAAUAGGAAUUUUGUGGAUUUAAAUUAUUAAAUUAAAUUAGAGUUCUUCCACGUUUUUCUCCAUCUUUUUUCAAUAUGUUUCUCCCACGUGCAUAGAACGAUUGAAUGUUUGUAAUAUGCGAACCUUUUACACGACGUGACUUAUACUCGGACAAAAAAAUUGAAUUUUAUCGUUGGCCGCUAAAGUCCCAUUUGACCUUGACAUAAUUUAUCAUGCAUUAUUUGGAGAGAGAAUAAAGUGUCUUUAACGAAUAUAAAUUAUGAUUAAUAAAUCCUCGUUGUAAAAUUUCAAAAAUCAUAAGGUAUUACUAAUAUAAGUGUUGUAUAUACUAUUAUUUUAUUUUUUUUGUCAAAUCUGGAGGUAUCUCACAUCCCGAAGAAUAAGAUUAAUUCUCAGUGAGGCCUGUCAAGGCUAAGGCAUUACACCUAGGCCUGACAAUUCCUGACACGACUCGAUAAUCCAACACGACACGACACGAAAUUAACAAGUGUUCGGGUCGACACGAUAACGAAACGGGUCGUUAUCGGGUAACCCGAUAAGCACCUGUUAAGAUAACGCGUUGGUUCGGGUAUACACGUGGGUAACACGAUACACGAUAAGCAGAAUAUUAAUUUAAUAAUUUUAUAACCCUAAAAAACUAUUAUAAUAAUUAUAUAUAUUAAUUUAACAAUUUUAUACCCCUAAAAACUAUAAUAAUUAUAUAUAUAUAUAUAUAUAUUAAAUUAACUAUAAUAAUUAUACCCCAAAAAUAUUAACUAUAAUAGUUAUAUAUAUAUAUAUAUAUAUUAAAUUUUAUACCCCCUAAAAACUAUAAUAAUUAUACAUACAAAAUAAAUAGAUUUAAAUCUACUUAAUAAAUAAAUAAAUAUAUAUAUACAUACACACACCAUUGAAGUUCAUGGGAUACGAAUUAUACGAAACUAAUUUCAACGAUCUAACCGUCAAACUUGUUUGUAUAUGCUUCGAGAUUGCAUCAGCAAAAAAUUACAAAAAAAAAACAUUCACAGAUCAAGUAACGAGACAAAACUUUCCGACAGUUAUAAACGAAAAAAUCACGAUUUAACGGUUAUUUUAACUCCGAUUUUGAUGAUUUUUUACAGCUACACUCCUUGACCCUAUAUGAAUACAAUGAAUAAAUUUGAUCUUCAAUUUAAAAUAUUUACACUAGUGGAUACCACAAAAUCUUAUGUUAUAUUUGAUGAAAGUAUGAAUAAACUCUUAAGUGUUAGUGAAUCAAUUGUUUUGAUGGGAUACGCAUUCUACGAAACUAGUUUCAACGAUCCAACCGUCAAACAUGUUUGUAUAUACUUCGAGAUCACAUACGCCAAAAAUUGCAAAAAAAAAAAACAUUCAGAGAUCAAGUAACGAGACAAAACUUUUCGACGGUUAUAAACGAAAAAUCACGAUUUAACGGUUAUUUUAACUCCAAUUUUGAUAAUUGUUUACAGCUACACUCCUUGACCCUAUAUGAAUACAAUGAAUGAAUUCGAUCUUCAAUUUAAAAUAUUUACACUAGUGGAUACCACAAAAUCUUAUGUUAUACUUAAUGAAAAUAUGAAUAAACUCUUAAGCGUUAGUGAAUCUAUUGUUUUGAUGAGAUACGCAUUUUGCGAAACUAGUUUCAACGAUCCAACUGUCAAACUUGUUUGUAUAUGCUUCGAGAUCGCAUACGCCAAAAAUUGCAAAAAACAAACAUUCAGAGAUCAAGUAACGGGACAAAACUUUUCAACGGUUAUAAACGAAAAAUCACGAUUUAACGGUUAUUUGAACUUCGAUUUUGAUGAUUUUUUACAUCUACACUCCUUGACCCUAUAUGAAUACAAUGAAUGAAUUCGAUCUUCAAUUUAAAAUAUUCACACUAGUGGAUACCACAAAAUCUUAUGUUAUACUUGUUAAAAGUAUGAAUAAACUCUUAAGUGUUAGUGAAUCUAUUGUUUUGAUGGGAUACACAUUCUACGAAACUAGUUUCAACGAUCUAACCGUCAAACAUGUUUGUAUAUACUUCGAGAUCGCAUACGCCAAAAAUUGCAAUAAAAACAAACAUUCAGAGAUCAAGUAAUAGGACAAAACUUUUUUACGGUUAUAAACAAAAAAUCACAAUUUAACGGUUAUUUUAACUCCGAUUUUGAAACUUUUUUACAGCUACACUCCUUGACCCUAUAUGAAUACAAUGAAUGAAUUCGAUCUUCAAUUUAAAAUAUUUACACUAGUGGAUACCAUAAAAUCUUAUGUUAUACUUAGCGAAAAUAUGAAUAAACUCUUUAGUGUUAGUGAAUCUAUUGUUUUGAUGAGAUACGCAUUUUGCGAAACUAGUUUCAACGAUCCAACCGUCAAACUUGUUUGUAUAUGCUUCGAAAUCGCAUAUGCCAAAAAUUGCAAAAAAUAAACAUUCAGAGAUCAAGUAACGGGACAAAACUUUUCGACGGUUAUAAACGAAAAAUCACGAUUUAACGGUUAUUUUGACUCCGAUUUUGAUGAUUUUUUACAGCUACACUCCCUGACCCUAUAUAAAUACAAUGAAUGAAUUCGAUCUUCAAUUUAAAAUAUUUACACUAGUGCAUACCACAAAAUCUUAUAUUAUACUUGAAAGUAUGAAUAAACUCUUAAGUGUUAGUGAAUCUAUUGUUUUGAUGGGAUACGCAUUCUACGAAACUAGUUUCAACGAUCCAACCGUCAAACAUGUUUGUAUAUACUUCAAGAUUGCAUAUGCCAAAAAUUGCAAAAAACAAACAUUCAGAGAUCAAGUAACGAGACAAAACUUUUCGACGAUUAUAAACGAAAAAUCACGAUUUAACGGUUAUUUUAACUCCGAUUUUGAUGAUUUUUUACAGCUACAUUCAUUGACUCUAUAUGAAUACAAUGAAUGAAUUCGAUCUUCAAUUUAAAAUAUUUACACUAGUGGAUACCACAAAAUCUUAUGUUAUACUUAAUGAAAGUAAGAAUAAACUUUUAAGUGUUAGUGAAUCUAUUGUUUUGAUGGGAUACACAUUCUACAAAACUAGUUUCAACGAUCUAACCGUCAUACUUGUUUGUAUAUGCUUCGAGAUCGCAUACGCCAAAAAUUGCAAAAAACAAACAUUUAAAGAUUAAGUAACGGGACAAAACUUUUAGACGGUUAUAAACGAAAAAUCACAAUUUAACUGUUAUUUUAACUCCAAUUUUGAUAAUUUUUUACAACUACACUCCUUGACCCUAUAUGAAUACAAUGAUUGAAUUCGAUCUUCAAUUUAAAAUAUUUACACUAGUGGAUACCACAAAAUCUUAUGUUAUACUUAAUGAAAGUACGAAUAAACACACUAGUGGGUCACUUUCAUUAAGCUUUGAGUUCCAUUGGCAAGGUUUAAAUUUUUGAGAAAGGCUUCACAACCUUGAAAACAAAAACGCUUUCAUUUUGCAUAUCCUUGCACAUUUAAUAUUUGUAAUAGAUUAGUAGUGUAUUUUUUAUGAGGCUCUUAUUUUCGAGUGUAGAUGUAGUACUGAAGCGAAAAAUGUGUUUUAAUGUUUUGAAGUAAUAUUUAUGUGACAAUGUGUGGUAUGUGCAAAUUUAAGAAGAAAAAAAAUAUUUUUCUUAAUGGGUCAUAACGGGUCGGGUCACUUUACCCAUUGGGUAAAGUGACCCGACCUGUUCAGGACCCGUUAAGAUAACAGGUGUGACACGACACGACCCGUUAAGAUAACAGGUGUUACAUAAAAACGACACGAACACGACUGACACGACCUGUUUGCCAGGCCUAAUUACACUCCACUUUUGGCUAUGGUCAAAUGGCACACAUCUUCUUAAAACUUUCAACUAAAAAAUCAUAUGUAUUUUUGCCAACUUCGUACCUCGAACUCAAAGGCCACAAAGUAUACAUGGUUUGGAAUUUUACUGCAUUUCUACUAGACCAUUUACCGUGAUUGUUGUCUAUAAUAUUAUUUAGAGAACACACUCUCUCUGACUUUUCUUCAAAUACCAUUUAUGUCCCCACAGGUCCCCUUUUUUAUCCUUAGUUGCAAUAAAUAACCUUAAUAUAAUAAGAUUAAAAUAGACUUUUAUUUAAAAUUCUUCCACAUUUUUCUCCAGCUUCUCUUUCGAUAUGUUUCUCCUACAUGCAUAGCAUGUGUGAGAUUGCUAUUAUAACAAAAGAGUUGAUUAAUAAUACAUAUCAGGUGAUGAUAUUACAACUUACACUUAAAGAGUUUCUCAAUAAUUUCGGGUAAUAUAUUGUGACAACUUUUUUUUAAAUGAAAAUAAUAAUAUACUACUCUAAGUUUACGUACACUUAGAAAAGGAAAAGAGUUUAAUCCGUAACACAAUAAAUUGAAGAGAAAGACUCUAUUCACCAAAGCAAAUCCAUCACUUGCAUUGUGACAUCUUUCUGACAUGCAACUUUUCUUUAGGGGUGUGAUAUCCACACACCCCAUUUUACUUCUCACACACCUUUUUAAUUUUCGGCUGUCAGAUCGGAUGAAUUGAAGAAGAUCAACAGACAGAAAUUAUCAAGGGGUGUGUGAGAAGUAAAAUGAGGUGUGUGGAUAGCACACCCCUUUCUUUAUUUCAUUACAUAUCAUAUCUUUUGCAUGUAAAUUUUCUUGAUGAUUUCCAAAUUUUAAAACGAUGCAAAACAACAUUAAUUAGUUUAAACUCAAACUAGCUCAAUGGGGAGGAGUAUAUGAAUUGAAUUCAAUUAGUGCACGCCAAGUGUUUGAUAUAUAUUUUGAUGCUCCAGAGUCCACAGGCAUAUCGUUCAUGAUAUUGCAUGCCAUUGUAAAAAGAAAACGUUCAUUAUUACAUGACUCACGUCAAUGCAUAUUAAUUUAGAUAUCACGUAUAAUUAAAAAGGUUUUACUAUACCGAUUGAGUCAUUUUUUCGAUGUGACAGUUACAUUGUCAUGUGAUGUUUGUGGAUGCAAAUUCUUUUGCUCCUUGUUCUUGGACAAAAUUACAUCUACAAAACAAAUAACACCUUAGGUCAAGGCCAAAAGCCUCACGCGCCCACAAUGAAUGGGGGGGGCUUUGGCCGAAGAACCUCUGAUGUCAAAGUUAGAAUUUAGAGAGAAAAGUGUUUGGAGAGUUUUUGGAAGUUUUGCAAGAGUGUCGAACCUAGGUUUUUAGAGAAAAUGGGGUGAUAUAUAUAGGGCAUGGCCGGUCCCCUUUGGAGAAAAGGUGGCCGGCCCUUUGGGGUAUUUUUGUGUGAGAUGGGUGAUUUAAUUGGCAAUUAAUAGAUUAAUUAGGUAAUAAAUCCAUUAAUUAGCCAAUUAACUCAAUUUAUAUGGAAUUUGAAGAUUAUGGAACAAAUACCUCAUGGAGAAUAUAGGAUGAAGAUAGAUGAAAUAAUUUUGAAUUUGUUACCUAUUUUGGGCACUUUUGGCUUGAUUGAAGAAUGGUUGUCCACUGCUCGAUCGUAGGAAAUCCGGUGUGCCUCAAGGGUAAGUUUGUCCUUUUCAUCAAAAAUUCACGUGUCACCUUAUGAUUAGUUUUGGCUCCACAAUAUUAUUUAUCCAUCAAAUUAUAACGUGCGAAGUACUAACACCAAGUGACAGUGGAGCCGUCUCAAUCCAAGGUUGGCAUCAAAGGUGCCUUUUAAACCAGAUGUAGAGUCCUCACUAUGCACACACACAUAUAUAUGGUAUAAUAGGCAUCUCUGCAAACAUUGUCAGAGGUUUUGUGGAGCAGGUAAUAAAUUUUCGCAAUUCUGCAGUUUAACUUCUUGUCAAUAAAUGGCAGUUGCUCUUAAACUCACUGUUAAAUUAAGGAUGGUGCUAUAUACACAUCAUUUUUUUUACCUCUCACACAUUUUUCUUAAUUUUAGCCAUCAGAUUGAAUGAAUUAAAAAAAUUAAUAGACAAAAUUACCAAUGAUGUGUUAGAGGUAAAAAGAGGUGUGUGAAUAGCACUACCUUAAAUUAGAAGAAAACUAAUGAAAAGAGCUUGAAAACUUUGAGUUUUAACGAUAAGGACAAAAUAAAGGGUAAAGUAAAUAGUACCAGGUUUGACUUUUUAGUGUAAAAAUGUGGUUUUUCGUUAAGGUAAACAGUACCGUGGGCUUUUUGUUAAAACUUCAUAAAUUAAAAGGUAAAUAAACUCAUGCUAGAGCUAAAGAUGCAUACAUGCCCAAAAAGAAAUAGUAAAUAAAGAAUUUAUUCUAUACUUCGUCAUAUUCAGUCAACUUCUUCAUAUACAUUGUAAAGCUAAUACACUUUAAUUUUACAUGUAAGGAAAAAAAAAACCUAGACUGCAGGCAUUUUCCUGUGCUUAUUCACUGCUAGGAAAAUAUAUAAAAUGUUUAAUUUGAUUUAAAAUUAAUUCUGCUAAUGCUUUUCGUUGAUGGUUGCACUUCGAUGUAGAAUCUUUGGAAUUGGUACUACUUCAAGGUGUGGUCGGAUUUGGACCUCCGGAAGGGGUAGUGCUCCUAAGUAUUUGCCUGAUCAAAGGGAAGAAGGGACGAUCCAUCUGAUGCAUAAACUUUUCUUCCCCAUGCAACACUCUGCAGGCCUCGGACGAUUGCAUGUUCAUAAGAAAAACCAUUAAAAACACUGCCACCAAAAAUAUUUUUAGAAACUUCAUUUUGUUGGGCAAACAAAGACUAUUUUGCAUCUAAUUUUCUGCGGAAGAAGAAAUGAAGGAAUGAAUGAAGAUAAAGUUAAAGGUUUGUUGCGAAAACAAAGAUUUUGCUUCUUUUAUCUGUCUGUGAAAAACAGAAAGGAUUGAAGGAAUUAAGGAAUGAAUGAAUAGAUGGGGAACAUGGGGCUUUUUACAUGCAUCAAUUAAGACCAACUUUCAUAUGACUUUGAUUUUUUAAUAUAAAUCUAUUUGUUUCGUUGUUUUGACUAUUAAAUGAUGAUUAUAUGCUAAGGACUUAGAAUUGAAUGGGUAGUCAUAUCCGCAAGGGUUUUGGUUUUAGGGUUUCACUGUAUUGUGGACCUGUAAAAAAUCAAAGCUAAUUAAUUAUAGGCUUAGAUGUCAAAAUUGUCCUUGUGUUAUAACUAUAUAUGGUCAAUUUAGUCCACAUGUUUUCGAUUUGGCUAAUUUAGUCCUUAUGUUAGUCUCCUUUAGUCAAUUAAGGACAUUUUAUUCAGUCUUGUUAAAAAAAAUCAUAAGAAAAAUUAUAAGAUAUAUGAUUACCCUUUCUCUUUACAGAAAAAUGCAAAUCAAUGAGAAAUAACACAUAUAAGAGAUAAAACUUCCAAUCUGAAAAAUGAUUAAGGUUGUGACAUAGAAAAUAGAGCGGGUAACGUUAGGAAGGAGACUUCGGGGAGUUGGGAGGACAUUAAUUUUUCUUUUAAUUUUUAAUUUUUAUUUCAUUUUAAAAUCAAAUAAAUAAUUUUAUAAUAAUUAUAAUUUUUUGUAAUAAUUUAAUAAUUAAGUUAUAAUAGUUUAUACAGAAAUUAGAUGGAAAUAUCCUUAAUUGGCUAAAGGAGAUAAACACAAGGACCAAAUUGGUCAAAUUAAAAACAUAUGGACUAAAUUGACUUAAUGACUAAAACACAUGGAUCUUUUUAACAUUUAAGCCUUAAUUAUAUAAUAACACAAUCCUUUCUUGAUGCCCAAAAAUAGCACAUUUUUUCUACUCUUAAGUUCCUGCAAGAAACAUUUUACGCCUAAUUUAAGUUGAGCUGCCACUCAGUACUAUGGUCUAGUGGUAUUCCUCUUCACUUGAAUGUGGCUGGACGAUCGUCCGACGCCCCAAAAAAUUGGGGGCACCAAAAUUAUUAAAGUGUUAUGUUAUAUUGAUAUAUAUUUUUUAUAAGAGUAUAGAUUUUAAUUUGGUUAAUUGACAAAGAAAUUUAACUAUAAUUGGUGGUUUUUUUUUUUUGUUAAAAUUAAUGAGGAGGUCUUGGGUUCAAAGCACCAUGUGUGUUUAUUUUAUUUUCAAUUUUUACAAAUUUCUUUUCAUAUGAGUAUAAAUGUAUAAAAUUUGGUAAGUAGUUGUUUAUUUUAUUUAAAAUAAACAAGGAGGUCCCGGGUUCAAAACAAUAUAUGUCUCUUUUACUUUUCAACUUUUACGAAUUUCUUUUCAUGGGUUUAAAGUUAUGAAAAUUGGCUAAAUGAUCUAGAGGUUAAUCAAAAGUAAUGGUUUUUGUUGCUAAAAUUAAUGAGAGAUCUUGAGUUCGAAAUGUUGUGUGCAUGUUUGUUCUUUUCAAUUUUUACGAGUUUCUAUUUGGUUGUUAAUUUCUUUUUAAUUAUUAGCUAUUAGAUAUGUGGGUUGCAAUUUUAAAACAUUUGUGUCAAUUCAAGUCUAAAUUUAAACAAAGAGUAAUGCAUAGACCAAAUUUGCAAAUCAUAUGAUGUGUCACCAAUAAGUUUAAUUUAGUAUCAUUUAUUCCUUAUACAUAUCAAUUAAAGACUCGAAAGCAUCAUUAUUUUUAUAGACCCAUAUUGACAAGAUUAGUAAAUAAGAAAAAACACAUCACGAUUUAUAUAAAAACUUUCAGGUAGAAAAACAAGACUCAUCAUCCAUCUACUUGUAAGCCCGAGGUUUUUUCGUUCCUGUACAAAAGAAAUUAAUUUUUCCGUGCUUCUAAAUUAUUGAGCUU